ACCCAACUCUAAUAAGGUUUUGAUAUCUGGAGCUCAUGGGUGGGAGACAGCUAAUACAUACUUACAAGACAUUUAUUGCAUAGUCAAACCAUGGAUCCAAAGAGACAAGUCAAUAAGUCAAAUCAAGAUGUGCAUGUGUGGCGAAUGAAUGGUGAUAAUGGUGAAAGUCUAAUUCUACUUUUGCUCUUUUGAGGGGAUACAUACCUUUCUUGCUCUUUUGAAACUUUUUGAGGAGAAUGAGAUGCUCUAUAUUUUCUUUUUUCUUUUCUCUCAGGUGGGUAUCUUGUACCCCUAAUUCUACUGUCGGACACUUGUCCAUUUUUACCUCUCGUCUCACUUUUUCUUUUCUUUCGAGGUUCCGGGCACUUGCCCCUUUUUAUUUCCUCAUAUCUCUUUUUUUUCAGAGCACUCACCCUCCUGGAAUAAUGUAGGAUAUAUGUGGAUGCAUAAUUCCGGAGUAGAAGCAGCAUGUGUGAGUGAACGUGCAAGUGAAUCUUGAUUUAACCACAUGACAAGAUCCUAGUGGUCUACACAGCUUGACCACACUCAAUGCUCAUAAGCAGUAAAAAGUAAAUGUGUGGCUCAACGUUUAGCAAGCAUGUAUAUAUGGCUGUGGUAGGAAUUUAAACUCUCAUCAUACAGGAACUCAUCAUGCAACAUUUUAAAGAUUUUCAAAGAUAAAAUUCUCCAGAAUUCUAGCAUCUCUAGUAACAGAUAAACAGUAGCUCAACCUUCCCAUAUCAUAUCCGUUAACGACUUAGACUUUAGAUCAAGUACUCUUCCCACAAGAUCAGGUUUAGAGCAAAUCUUAAUUAAUAACAGUCAUGCCUAAACUUGAGAGAGAUUUCAAUUUUGAGAACUAGUCAUGGCAAUGCAACUAUUCAUCAUUUCCAUGUGAGAGCUUAUCAUGAGGGUUCAUAGCAAACUUUAUUUAUUUAUUUAGCAAACUAAGCAAAGAUAUAUAAGCACAAAAUCUUAUUUGGGUUUUUAUGAUUAUGCAUCUUUUUAUUAUUUGAGUAAAGUAUAAACGCGAAUAGAAACACUUAGCUGGAUAAAUGGGGGUGCUCUCCCCCAAGCUGGAUGUGACAGAACCGCCCAAUUUAUACAAGCUUAAGUACGACUGUCCCCGUUUAACACGUUGACACGCGCAUACUCUCACUUAUAUAAACCCGGUAGUCUGCCGAGUGUCACAAAGGACUUCGGUAAAUCAACCUUACACCAAGAUCGCAUGAUUAAGCAAAUACACAUCACAUACACGGAGAUUUGCAGCGGAAAUAAUAUUACAAAAGAGUUCACAAAUAAUAGUACAAGUUUGGAUUUUUCCAAAUUGAUUAGAGAACAACAUAGCUUUCAAAUGAUUACAAUAACAUAAGUUUCAAAUACAUUGCUAGCAUAAGUGACAUCCUCCGACAAAAGCAUGUAGAUGAGAACAUUAUAUAGAAUCACCGAGCCCACCAGUGGUUAGCCACCAUCCUUAGCAGACUGAAAACUUCACCUGCAACAUGGUGGGAUAAACCCUGAGUACUCGAAUGUACUCAGCUAGACUUACCCGGCGGGAGAGAAAAUAAAAGACUCUCAAGGAUAUGCAAGGCUUUUUGUGGAGUUGGUUGGAUAGCAUAACAUUGCCAAAAAGAGCAUUACUAUCAUGAGUCCUUACUUUCAACCUUUUAGUCAAUAAUUUAGCAUCAAGUUCAGUUAAGCUACCAUAGCUAGAUUUUGCGCCUAUUCUAUAGCAAUCACUUGAUUAAUGAGCAUCACAUUAAUAACCAUAUCCAGUUUAUCAUGUAGCCAUCAUCAUCAUCAUAACCAUUAAGUUUCAUUUAGUUUAUCUACGUUGCCGCUGCUCGAGUCAAGUUCUCACUAUCCGGGAGAGAUGGCGAUUCGAAUCGAUUCCUAUCCAGCUGGAGGGGUAUUCCUAGCACUCACCUAGGCAUACUUAGCUAGAGUAGCUUGGAUCACCUUUAGCACAACUCCGGACCAAUUCACGGGUCCGUACGGCGCCGCACCCCAGGGACCGCCAAUCUGCCAGGGUCAGGACUCUAACCUGACUCCUCGGUCUUACGCCAUUGACUCCCCGCACAUCCUUGCUACUAACCGGGGUGCGCACUUAAACCGAACGGGGUAUCCGGCCAGAGAUGCACUCGUAGGCUUUGCGGUCGGAACGACUUAUCUGGCCAACUAAGUGUUAGGCAUGCGUUCAACAUGACACGAGGACGUACAGCGAAUUGGUCCUUAACCGACGCAGACGGGGAUAGAUUCACACCCAAGACCUCCAUGCCUUGUUGCUUCACUAUCGUCAUCCCGCCCAGUCUCAAAUUCAUUAUUAGCACAUGGUUAUUUCCACGAUAGCAAAUAUAGCCAACCGUGAUCAGGUAUCCACCUAUCUGUCGCAGGUGACAGGAAAUCACCUGGCUUCUACAGGGCUAAGCAUAGCUAAGCAUAGAACGUCUUCCUUAUACUAGUAAGGGUUCAGGUAGUUUCAUAUAGUGGACAAGGUAGGAAUAUAUGCACCAAUGGUUUCAUUCAACUCCUAUCACCUAAUGCAUCAUAUAAAGUUAUACUCUUGUGCUUUUAUAAAAAGAGAGGGCAGGAGACUUAGAAUGCUCCGGGACUUGCCUGGAAUUCGACACAAGUCAGUUAUGUCAGCUUGCAUCGUCUUGACGACAUCUAAGGUGACAACACUUGUUUAGUCCUUCCAUCGUCCGGUUAGGUCCACCAUCAUGUCCUUCACGUGGUUCAUCUAGCGUACCUAAAUGAGAUGCAAGAUGCAAGUAUAUGAACACGUAGAAGUGCAAUAGAUAAUGCAGCACAUGCAGCACAUAUAGUAAGCAAGAUAAGCAUCAUGUUACUCAACACAUACAUAUGUCGCUUAAAUAACAUAACCAACAUACUAAGAUAGAAAACAAUGCAAAACCAAGCAUAUCAAGCAUAGCACACAUGUUUCACAAGAUUUCAGGUGUCUUAACUUGGCCAUUAUCAAAGACAUGAGUCACACCUAGCAAUAUACCAAGCAAUGGCAAUAACAGGAAUCUGCCAUUUUUAGCACUGUUAACACCAGCUGAGAAAAUAAAUCAUAACUGGAGAUUCACAACUCCAAAAGACAUUCAAGAAGACAUUCUGGAAAGCUUACGAAAUUAUCUACAUUUGAAAUUCAGACAUAAAAGCAUGAUUCCCAACUUAAGCUGGUCGAAAUUAUAAAGAUCCAGAAUCUAUCCCUGACAAACAGAGAGCAGCCAUUUCUGGAAUCAAAAUUGGAACAGACAUAACUCACAAACCACAAGUCCAAAUACUACCAAAUUUUAAUAGCAGAUAGAUAACUGAAUUAUCUACAACUUUUCUAUAAACAAGAUUCCCAGAAAACAUCAUUUACAUAUUGUAAUCCAAACAGUUCCACAAACUGUCCAGAAACAAUAAUUGCAAACAAUUAAUUAUUAAUUUAUGUUUCAAACAUGCAUUUGAGCAAAACCAUUGUUACCAACAGUUUGCACAUAACUAAAGAACACCAGAAAACAUAGUGGUCAUUACCAAAUAAAUUUAUUUAAUGCCUUUCUUAAUUUAUUUGGAUAAUAAGGUGAGUUAAAGAACAUAUAACAAAAUUGCUCAAUAAAUUCCACCAAAAAUUACAGUAGCUUCUAAAUACUAUCUAUAGUCCACUGUAUAAAUUUCACUGCAUUUGAAUAAAGAUAUCAACAUCUAUGAAAAAGACAAAUUGCUAUUGCAAUUAACCAUGUGAGAGCAAGAUAAAUGCACAAAUCAUAUUUUCUUCAAACACAUGGCCAUAUCAUACAUAAACAUGAUACAACAAUAUCAUAGGAUUGUAUUGGAACAACAUUUUCCAUUUUUCCAUUUUUAGUUAUAAUUAUAAACCAUUUAUCAAGAUCCAUAAAGACAUCUCUGUCCAAAACAUGGACAGAAUCUAUCAUGUCACAUUAAACAGCCAUAACUUGAGUUUCAUAUGCCCAUAAAUUAUGGUUAUGUGCUUUCUAGAAAGAAUACUAAAUUGUGAACAACUUUGUUAUUAACAUCUAGAGCUAGAUCUACAAAUAAUAAGGUCUUACAUAACAAACAAUGCAUCCCUGUCUGGGUUUACACAGAAACUGAAACAGUAAUUUAAAUCACUAUAACUAAACAUAUGCUUGACCAAAAAUUUUGCUAUUUAGCUUGAUGGAAAGCUUAUGAAAAGUAAUACAACUCAUAUAUUUUCAUCCAGGCAUGAUUCACAACCUAACUGAGUCAAACAAUAUAAACAUGCAGAUCCACUCAGAAUAGGAGCAAGGCAACAUAGAGCAUUUGUUAUUUUUAUAACUCUAAAUCUGUCAUGCGUAAAUUCAUGAAACUUUUACCAGACAUAAAAUAUUAUAUUUAAAGCAUGCCACAAUAUUUUCGCAUUUAUUUAAGCAAUAAUACAUUGGUUAUGAAAAAGACAAAUAUAACAAGCAAUUAAAACCAAACUGCACAGAUCUAUUUUUACCGUUAAAACUUCAAACACAAACAUGGCAUAUUAUAGAUCUACUGCAUAGAGAAUUUCACAAGGAUUCCAAAAAUUCCACAUUUGCUAUUUUAAGAUUUUUCUAUGAAUUACUAUGGAUUUCUAAAGUUCACCCAGAAAUCUGCAAAAACAAAGGAAAAGGAAAACAGAUCUUUCACCGGGGACCCUUGACUUUCCAUGAAUCACGCAACCGCCCACAAAUACUGUUCAUAUGAGUCUUGGCUUCGCAUCUAGAACCCUGAGUUGUUUCUUAUUCAAACCCGAGGUCCCUUCUCUUCUCCAGAGGACACAGAGCAGAUCGGGUCGACCAUGGUUCCAACGACGGGGAAGGGCUAGCCAUGGGCGGUGCAUGGCCAACGGCUGCCAGUGGUAGGGGACAGCUGUGCCGGCAAGGUGGCCAGCCACGCUUGCGCCAUGCCCUGCAGCGGCGCAGCUGCUGUGCUGGCUGUCCACGGCGGACAGAGGGAGAGAGUGGAGAGGGAAGAAGGCGAGUGGAGGAUGGGAGAGCUUUGAGGGAGUGGAGGAGGACAGGGAGAGCUCUCUGGCGCUCGUCCACAAUGGUGCAGAGAGAGGACAGGGCAAGGUGGAGGUGGCAGCAAUGGAGGUGGGCGCUCUCUGCAUGGUCACCACGUUCCAGACACGCGUCGCCCUUUGAAGCAUAAACGCGAACACGUGGCGGGUGACGGUAUGGCCAGUGUGGGACGCCGAUUUGGGCCGGAUCUGGACAAAAUUUGGACAUGGACCAAAAACGAAGUUUGCCAAGCUCGGCCUGCCCUACAACUUUGAUUAAGGUGGCAUGGUCAUUAGAGUUGUAGAUUAGUAGAUAAUUAGAUGCCAAGUCACGAGUGUCAAUGAAUUGAUAAUGAUUAGCAAAACUCGAAAUUGAAGACCAAAACAAAGUCAAACUAGCGUCAUCUUUUUAUAUGCUCUUGUCCACAAUAUGUACUCCAACUUUUAUUUUGGGACCGAAGCAAGUUGUUUAGUAAAAUUUGGAGAACACGGAAUGCCAACGUGAUGAACUGCAAACCUAGACUUAGAAACUCAAAGUGCUGGAAAUUAUAGCAGAUUCAAUCUUGUGACUAUUAUUUGACAUGCUUAGAAGAUGAUUCAGACUUAGUACUUUUAACCAAGAUUGUAUUAUGCAAACUAUACUACAACUUUUACAAAAAGGACCUUGUACUGGUUCAGUAUUAUUUGGAAGAUACAAGGCUCCCAACUAGGGUACCCGAAACUGAGCACCUCAGGACUUAGCCAAAAUUCUGGAGUUCCAGAACAGCACUGCAUUGAAUAUUGUAAACUUAAUUUGACUAGGUUAGAGACAAAAAUAGCUCUUGAUCAUUAAAGAAAGUUUGUUCUACAGAAUCUAAACUACAACUUUCAUUUAAGGUCAAACCUCAGAACUAGUACAGAAGUCAAACUUUCACUUUGGUCAAUGCAGCAACUUGAUAAAGCUCAAACUAAGAUUUUAGGCUAAUUGAAGCAUUUUCUAGGCACAAGCUCAACAGGUACCCUUCAUGACUUUUGUUGUAGAGUUCAUCUAGAGUUACUUGGGCAGGGUUGCAAGGUUUGGUUGAUGACCCAUGGUUCCAUUCACUUAAUGAGGGCAUUCCAACAAGCAUGUAACUUAUCAUUUUAUGUGACCUUUUGAUUCCAAACUUCUUUAAACUUUUUGAGUGAUCACUAUAGGCAGUGAUGGAUGUGGGACACAUGAGAGAGGUUUCAUUAAAAUCACUCAAGUAUGCACUUUGAAAAGGGCCUAUAUGUAAGCAAGGGUGCAUUCUCCAAGUUUAACUUGAGGCUCACUUUCAUGGAUUGACUUUAACAUGAUCAUCACCACUUAUCAUGACAUGUUUGAGCUCAAAACCUAAGGUCUAACUUGUGACAAACACCUAGGGUGUUACACUGGAUUUUGAUGUAAUUUCUUCUGAUGUAGCUAGCAGGUGGCGGAGGUGUAUUUGAAUGUCGGCAGCACCCUGACAGCGAUUAGGAUGUCCUCCGUCUACUAGUAUUCUUUGAUCCUUGAAUUUUGUGGAGCUCAAAUAGACAACAAAGCUUGUGGAACUAGUUAAGUGUUAGCAUAAAUAUCUAGCCUUUAUCAUGUUGAGCCUCCUCAAUAAAUGUUAUACUCUUUGGUAGGAUCAUAAAUUUAUUUUUAUAUUUUCAUUUUUAUAGCACAUAAAUAUAUUUAUUUUAUUUUUAUGCAACCACAGUGAAUGUACUUAUGGGUUUUAUGCCAUGAGCAUACUCACAUGGGGCUUACUAUUUUUAACAUUUUUAUUUUCUUUUCAAGAUGAUAUGAACCUGAUUAACUAAGCAAACUAUUUUAAAUAAUUGAAAAGAAAAGGAUAACUACCAAAUUUACCUCUUGGCAAGGCGUUCGGUGUUUUUAAGUCCGCCGAACGGGACUCUCCGUUUUCUCAGUCGUCCUGGGAUUUGCUGGAUGGUGUAGUCGGUGGUUCCGGCAGGACCUGGUCUUCAUGUAUUCUCUCUACACACCUGACUCGGUGCUACGGUCUCCUCAGGAUAGUUCUGUUCAAGCUAUAUGUCUUCAGACAUUACCACUUCUCCUUCGUAGUCUACCCAUCCGUCCUUGAUGAUUUGCCUCCUCUAGUUGCGGUUGUGUCGUCUCCUUCUUGUCCUGACCUGCUUAAAGUCUUCAACUAUAUAGUUAGGGUCAGUAAAAUAGCGACGUACCUCGUCAGAGGGGAAGUGUAUGUAGACUUCUCUGGUUCCAAUAUAGAUGAUUGCUUUAACGGUGUUGAGGAACGGUCUUCCAAGGAUGACGGGUGGAUUGUACUCGUCUUCUCCCAUGUCAAUAACCUUAAAAUCAUCUGGAGCUGAAUGUAUGUUGGUUGUAGGGGCAUGGUUCCAUGCAGGAGCUGAUAGGUGACUGCGGCCAUUAUGUUGACGCUUGACCCAGUGUCGCAAAGCGUCUUCUAGAAGUUGUAUCCAUUAAUGGAGCACUGGAUGCUUGGCAUACCUAGGUCAUCAUUUUUGGUCAGGAACGGUGACUUAAGUCAACGAUCUUGACCUCCUUGAGCUGCAGUGACCAUUGUUGACACUUGCUAACACCACUUGAAUACUAGGUUGUCAUCCCCAGCAUCGUACUAGAGUGUACUACGGUAUUUAUACGCACACAGAUAAUCCGCAAGCGCACGGAUACCGUUGUAGCCUUUUACCCAGUUAAAGGUUUUAUCGUAUCCACAGGGAAACGGGAGAACUGAUCUACGCUCUAACUUAACCAAGAUAAAUAGAUAGGUGUAAAUAGGAAAGAUGGUAGAAUCGAAUAAGAACAAUAUUAAAGGUAAGAUAACAGUGAGUGAUAAUAUGGAAAUAGAGAGUAGAGCAAUUCUAGUAUAUGGGCGAUGGUAGCAGAAUAGAGAGGACAACUAUGGUUUCUCUACUUAAAAGGGGUAUGUCUAUGUCUGGGACAAACCACGUGAUAAGAUUACACCACAAAGGAUGCUUAUCCAUAGGCCGAUAAACUCUACCCAUCCUGCUAACGAGAGGUGGACUACAGAGGACCAACGUAACUGUCACAUACGUGGCCUACCACACGAUCCAGCUAGACAGGGGAUAUCCACAAGUAAUCUAGGUCUAAGCACCACGCUUACACCUAUACUACAACUCUAACCUAUAGGGUCCUAUAGAUUAGAAGUACUCAAAAGAGUUGUGAACCAGAACAUACAUGAUUAGUAAUUGCAUAAUGAAUUAGAAGUAGAUUACCAGAGUCAUCCCAUGAGCAAGAUUGAUUAGAACUUGAUCAUGACGAAGUACAACCGGAGGAAGAACCGACAGGCCGGCCUCUCCUCUAAUCCUACUUCGCUCUCCAUCUUGCUACUGUCUAGAUCUACUCUAGUUUAGAGAAGAGAGGAGAGCUCUCAUCUCUAAAACCUAGAUUUUGCUCUGUCUAUGAAUAAUGAAUAAUGAUCAAGGGGUGCCGCCUCUAAGGGCCAGGGGGUCUGGUUAUAUAGUCCCCUCAAGUGAAUCUGGGUCGUCGGAUCAAACCGACAUUGAUUGAACGGUUAUUCUUGAUCCUUUAGAUCGGUGGAGCAUAAUCCGCGAGAUUGAGCGUGAUUGGCCGAAAUAGGUGGGCGGGCGCCCAGGGCCUGGCUCCGUUUGGCCUCCGCUUCCUUCCCGUGGCUUCUGGAGUCUUCUAGAUGUAAGAUAAUUGUGCGGCACGUUGAUAUCUCUAUGUAAUCCCGACGUGUGGGCCUUUCUUCCUUAUUUCCUGAUAACCCCCUGCAGAAAUAGACAAACACCAAAACUUGUGGAAUUCUGUCAGAUAAAACCCUAAGUUUAGAUGUUGGUUGUAUUUGGAUCCUUUUCUUUAAUUAUUUGAUGAUUAUAUUUGGUACUUAAGGACCGUCAACAACUCCCCCAAGCUUACCUCUUGCUCGUCCCUGAGCAAGGAUGGACUCAAGAGUUUCUAGAGUGGUUUUAUGCCUUAAAGGUACACAUGCGUUUAAACAAGAUUUCAUAUCUAGGUUAGGGUAAAUUGUUAUGAUUUAAAACUUACUCAUAUUACCUUUCACCAUGGGGCUUGCAACCGUCACUUGUGUCUUGAGCAGUUAAAAGAUAGAACAGUCAAGUCAAGCGUCAUGUCUCUUGUUCUUGAUCAACUAUAGCUCUGGAGUUUUUGCAGAUUUUCAAAUAAAACUCAGAGAUUCCUUGUAUGACUCUCUCAAUUCUCUCUUUUGUGGUAUUUCUGGAUCAUUACCAAAGCAGUGAUGAUAUACGCCUUCUCUCAAAGUAUGUAGUAUUUGUGGUAUGAGGCAUAGUGAUAUUACCUUCUCUCUCACCCUACUUUGAUAAGGUUUGAUAUCUAGAGCUCACAGGUGGGAGACAGCUAAUACAUACUUACAAGACAUUUAUUGCAUAGUCAAACCAAGGAUCUAGAGAAACAAGUCAAUAAGUCAAAUCAAGAUGUGCAUGUGUGGCGAAUGAAUGGUGUAUGGUGAUAAUGGUGAUAAUGAUGAAAACAAUGGUGAAAGUCUAAUUCUACGUUUGCUCUUUUGAGGGGAUACAUACCUUUCUUGCACUUUGAAGCUUUUUGAGGGGAAUGAGAUGCUCUAUAUUUUCUUUUUUUUCUUUUCUCUCAGGUGGGUAUCUUGUACCCCUAAUUCUAAUGUCGGACACUUGUCCAUUUUUACCUCUCGUCUCACUUUUUCUUUUCCUUCGAGGUUCGGGCACUUGCCCCUUUUUAUUUCCUCGUAUUUUUCUCUUCUCUCUCUUUUUUUUUUCUUUUAGAGCACUCACCCUCCUAGAAUAAUGUAGCAAGUGGUAGUGACCAAAAUAUCAAGGGGCAUUUAUUUCACCGGGAAUAACAGGGAUAGGAUAAUGUUUUUGGCUAUUCUCUCCCGGAUAGGAGUAGAAUAAUUUUGGGUAAAUCUGGAGAUGGAAAGGAGUGGAUGUAUGUGGAUGCGUACUUCCGGAGUAGAAGCAGCAUGUAUGAGUGAACAUGCAAGUGAAUCUUGAUUUUAACCGCAUGACAAGCUCCUAAGGGUCUAAUAAGCAGCAGUAAAUGUAUGGUUCAUAGUCUAAUAAGCAUGUAUAUAUGGUUGUGGUAGGAUUUUAAACUCUCAUCAUACAGGAACUCAUCAUGCAACAUUUUAAAUAUUUUCAAAGAUAAAAUUCUAUAGAAUUCUAGCAUCUCUAGGAACAGAUAAACAGCAGCUCAACCUUCCCAUAUCAUAUCCGUUAACGACUUAGACUUUAGAUCAAGUACUCUUCCCACAAGAUCAGGUUUAGAGCAAAUCUUAAUUAAUAACAGUCAUGCCUAUACUUGAGAGAGAUUUCACUUUUGAGAACUAGUCAUGGCAGAGCAACUAUAAAUCAUUUCCAUGUGAGAGCUUAUCAUGAGGGUUCAUAGCAAACUUUAUUUAUUUAUUUAGCAAACUAAGCAAAGAUAUAUAUAUAAGCAUAAAAUCUUUAUUUGGGUUUUUAUGAUUAUGCGUCUUUUUAUUAUUUGAGUAAAGUAUAAACGCGAGUAGAAACACUUAGCUAGAUAAACGGGGGUGCUCUCCCCCAAGCUAGAUUUUGACGUAAUUUUUUCUGAUGUAGCUAGCAGGUGGCGGAGGUGUAUUUGAAUGUUGGCAGCACCCUGACAGCGAUUAGAAUGUCCUCCGUCUGAUAGUCUUCUUUGAUCCUUGAAUUCUGUGGAGCUCAAAUGGACAACAAAGCUUGGUGGAACUGGUUAAGUGUUAGCAUAAAAUCUGCUUGCCUUUAUCAUGUUGAGCUUCCUCUAAUAAAUAUUACUCUCUUUUGUAGGACCAUAAAUUUAUUUUUAUAUUUUCAUUUCUAUAGGACAAGAAUAUAUUUAUUUUAUUUUUACGCCACCACAGUGAAUGUACUUAUGGGUUUCAUGCCACGAGCAUACUCACAUGGGGCUUAGUAUUUUUUAACAUUUUUAUUUUCUUUUCAAGAUAGCAUGAUUAACUAAUAAGAUAUUUAAGGAAAGUAAAUAAUUAAAGGGAAAAGGGAAUGCAGAAAGAAUAAAUAUGGAUAACUACCGAUUUUACCUUUCGGCGAGGAUUCAAUGUUUUAAGUCUUCUGAACAAGACUUCUCACCGUGUUCAUUCUUCAGGUGCGUCAUUUGAUUCAGGUGUGGACCUUGACAUCUGCACCUCUUAAUACGGUGUCACCCAUGUUCUUUGUUUGCCCAGUAGUUCGAAGUGCGGUGUUUGUAGUAUUUUGCUCAGUGUGUUUGUGCUUGUAGACCCAGGUUCUUCACUUGGUGGAGUGUGAGAGUUGUAAAACUCCUUCAUGUUUUGCUUGAAGUGUACCUGCUCAUAGAGACAAGGCAGAGAUCAAGUGCAUGGGUCCUGUUGGUGGAAAACACCAACAGAACCAAAAGUGUAUUUGUCCUUCUCUAACCUUAAGCAUGGUGAGCAAGACAAAGUUGAUGAAUGAUAAGUUCAUGAGUAUAGCAUUUAAAACAUUUACCGGAUCAGAUUGCUUCAACCUUAUGGAAAGAUAAUCUAUCUAUGUAUAUGUCUUUUUAUUUAUAUCUCUCAAAGAUUGAAUGUGUAACAUUUUAGCUCAUAUGGUUAGGAGUGUGGGGAUCAAAGAUUAAAGGACUAAACAUGCUGAAUCAGUGGGGUUGGUUAAUUUGGAGUUAUAAAUCAUACAUGUUCGUCUCUUUUAUUCAUAUGAACGCCAGAACCAAGGAGGAGCUUAUAAAAGUGAUAGUCACAUACCUUAAGAUGUUACCUUAAUUGAAGAGUGAUGGUAUAGUAUCACCUUGUGGAAGCUUUCCUUUCUUUGUGCAUCGUGUUUGUGGCACCCUCCAUGGAUCAUCCCUUAUGAGCUACGUCUUCCUUGUGUAAAUUGUUAAACUUCAUGUGUCUCUCUCUUUGUCUCCAAUGUGAGUUUAUCUUAGGACUUCCUAGGUUGAUAGUGAAAGUUUUCCUGCAGGGGUUAGUCCGACAAAAUAUACCAAUAUCUACUCAAGUAGUUUUUAGUUCAGUAAGCAAACUAGACUCCAUGUCUAAUCAGAUUAAGGAAGGCUAUUUAACCUAAGCACCAUGCUUAAUUUAAAAGCCAAUGGAAGUAUGUCGAGUACUUCCAAACCAACACUUGCUAGUAAAUAGACAAAGGUAGCAUGACAGCAUUUAUAGAGAUCUACUCAAGUGGAGAUGAAGUAGUGUGAUUAGUAUUUAACAAAUUGAGCAUGUCUCAAAGGUAGGGACAACCAGCAUAGCAACAUGGCAAAGGAUGUUUUUAUGUAAACUACUCCCCCAAGCUUGAAUUUCACAAAAUUCAAGUUUGGAUGAAUUUAAUUCAGUGUUGCAUGAUGAUUGGUUGGACAUACCUUGUGCUUGUUAUUCAUCCAAUCUUCUUGCUCUAAUCCUGGAAAGGUUAGUGGCAAGAAUACCCGAAGGAAUAUUUUUACAAUUAUCCUUAUAUGCUCAAUACACAAGGUAAUGUUGUAAAUAAUUAAAAGCUCAUGUUACGAUCUGAUCAGUGCUUAUUUUAGGACACUAAGCUUGUCCUUGGGAAACCAUCAAUUUAUGUCGGCGAAGUGGUUUCCCUUCCAACGCUGACCUAUGUCAAGAUCAACUCAACGAGAUCUGCAAUAUUUAUUAUAGACAUAUGCAUCGACAACCACCCUUUUAAAGUUUUUAUAAAUAGAAAGGAAGAGGGGGUUGGAGAUCUCAAAUGUGGUGAUGUUGGAGAGACCAAUAGAUUGGGAAGAUGUUGCAUAUGAGCAUGGAGCAAACGAAGUGGCUAUGAAAUAAAUUCCAUGCUCAUUAAUGUUAUCUUCGUCUCCAAUUUGAAUGUUCGGAGUUUCUCCUGGAUUGAUCUCACCUAUGUCCUCUUCUGUAGUUGGAUGAAUCUCAUCUUCAAAGGGAGUCAAGAACUCACCAUUUGAAAUUGAGCCAAAGUCGGAAUCCAUUAAGGCUUCUUCCUUAUCCAUCCAUUCUACACAUUCUAGCCAAUUAGAACUUGUGAUCAGGAAAGGGGAGCUGAUAGAAUCUUCUAUAUAGCUUAGCUCUCCUUCUAUGGCAUUACUUGACAUGCCAUCCUUAUGGUCUUCAUGACUCCUAUGGUUUGGUCGUCUUGGUGAAUUGCUAGGAUCAUCAUGAGACUGAAAAAGAAGAGGGAUAAGAGGGAUCUCUAAGGUCAAGGAUGGACUUAGAACUUGUGAACAUGGAAGGGGAGCAGAUAGAAUUUUCUAUAUGGCUUAGCUCUCCUUCACUUGAUAUGUCAUCCUCGACUUCUUCAUAAUAGGAACCAGGACAUUCUCUAAGAGAACCAUUAUUGCAAGGAUUUGAAUUAUCCCUGCUUGAAGGUCUCUUAUGGAACCAAAAGUCCAAACCAUCAGCAUCUGAAAGAUUUAAGGUCGGAACUCCUUCCUCCCUUGGAGAAUUUUGGGGUAUUGAUGGUUUAGGAUCGAUAGCUAAAGUUUGGAAUUUAAGUGGUUGUGAUCUGGCUAUCAAAACUUCUUCUUCUUGUCUAGGAACUAGUUCUGUCUCUUUCUCAGGGAUAUAAAAGCUAGGAGACUUUCCGCUCAUUAAAUCAAUCAAAUUCCAAGCUUCACUAGCGGAUAGGUGGUGGAAAGAUCCUCCAGAGGCCGCAUGAAGGGUUUGUUUAUUUUCCAUAUUAAGGCCGUCAAAAAAGUGAAUUAGAAGAACUUCUGCUGGAAUAGAAAGCUUUGGGCCAGUGAGAGUAAGGUUAAUAAAGCGGUCCCAUGAUUUCCUAACAGAUUCUUCUUCCAGUUGUCUAAAAGAAAUAAUCUCACGCCGAAGUUCCGCCACUUUGGAGAUUGGAAAAUAUUUAAAAAGAAAACUAUUAUAUAACUCCUUCCAAUCUCCAUGAACACUUCCUACUUUGAGUUUGUACCAAAGUCUAGCUUUUCCCGUUAAUGAGAACGGAAAGAGCUUCCAUUUAAGGGUCUCAUCGGACAUGCCUUCAAUGCGAAGGAGGUCACAGACUCGAUAAAACUCUUCUAGGUGUGUGUAUGGGUUUUCCUCACCUUCUCCUGAGAAAGGUUGUUUUUGAACAAAUUCUAUGUAUUCGGGGUCUAUCUCAAAACUAGAUGCUAUGAUAGGCUUUGAAGAUUUUGGUGGUUCGAGAUGUGUGCCCGUAGGUCUAUGAAAUUCAUAGAUAGACAUAUUUGAAUUUAUGAUAGACCAGAGAUCAAGGAUUAGAUAAGAAGAAAGAAUAGCAGAGAUGAGGCAAAGGAUAAAAGGAAAUAUAUUUUUUUAAAUUUUUUUUUUUUGAAAAUGAUUAAGCUAGUUCGUAGUCAACUCAGCAACCGUUUCCCCAGCAACGGCGCCAAAAAUGCUUGUUGACACUUGCUACACUACUAAAUUUUUACCCUAUUGCACUGCCUAAUUUUUGAUGUUAUAGGGCUAAAAUUGAUGCGAUAGCUCAGUAUCUCAUCAAUUUCUCGCUUGAUGGGAGCCGAUGCAAGUGGUCUUGAUGCAAUAUCCUUUCGCAUCGGUUUGUUGUGGCUGAUGUGAGAAGCAGCUAUUGCAUCGUCCAUCCGUUGUCUCUUGCAUAAAAAAUGAGAGAUGCAAUAGCUUAUUGCAUCAAAUUCAUACUGAUGCAAUACAUCAAUUGCAAUGACUAACGUUGGGUGCAAUAGUGUAUAUUGCAUCAAUAUUAUGUUUGAUGCAAUAGAACCUAUUGCAUCACCAUUUUGGUUCAGUGCAAUAUGAACUAUUGCAUUGACUUUAUGUUCAAUGCAAUACAAACUAUUGCAUCGAUGUGAGGUUGGGUGCAAUACAAACUAUUACAACGACAUGAGCAUCGAUGCAAUACAAACUAUUGCAUCGACAUGAGGUUUGAUGCACAAGGAACUAUUGCAUCGAUAUGGUGUUUAUGGGAACAGAAUGAAUUAAUUGCACAGAAAUUCAUAAAAUUACAAAAUUCAAUGGCACAGAAAGGCAAUCAUAUUAAUAACUUGGAUCAUCAUCAUUCAAUAGUUUGUACAAUAUAAGGAAGUCAAAGGCUUCCUACUUCAAAGAAGAUAAUUGCAAAGUUCAAACUGCAUUACAAACCACUAACUUAUGUUACAAAAAGGCAAUCAUAAACAAAAAUACAUGUCUCUUAGCAGCAGUGAUGUUCAGUUGAUAUUUCAUAGGAGCAAUACUGCUCGCUACAAUGUGAAAUGGAACUUAUAAGUUGGGAACUGAAAAUUAUUUCUGAAAAUUUUGACUAGUUAAAGCUAGGUGUCCUGAUAGCACAUAUAGAGAGUAGACUACAAAUUAAAUGUUGUCGUAACAUGAAUUAGAAAUGAUUGUUUAGGUACCUCUUACUACUAAUUUUAGAAAAGAUAUAAAACUGUUAUAAACCCUGAGUUGUUUGUCUUCGUACUGGUCCAGAAGCAUAAUUAGUGUGCAAACACGGCCAAGCUUGUGUCUUCAGAUUGGAUAUGCUCCCUUUGUAUGGUAUGACUUAUUGGCAUCACAGAUUUAUAUUAGAUAGGUAGUAUAGCAAUAGAGGUAAUAGUAGAUUUAUAGCAGUUGUUGUCUUUGUAAACAGGGAAUAUAAUUAUCAGUCAAAUACACCUCCCAGGAGGAAUUUUUACAUAUACAGUCCAAAUAUGGUAAUCUGUACAUACUCUCAGGUUCUUUAUCACCCAAAUGCACCUCUCAGGUUCUGUAAAGUUGUUGUUUUUCUGUACAUAGCCUUUUGAUAUACGAAAACUGCUGGUGUAUAUGUUUUCCAGAUUAUUUAUGCAAAGUAGAAGGAUAUUCUUUUUUUUUUGUUAAUGAAGGUUCCCUAUGGCAGUGAUGAGGAAGACUCGUUUUCCUUCUUAGACCUUGAAGAACAGGAGGAUCCAGUGGAUAGGGUGAAGUGGCUUGUUGAGACAGCUAACAAUGACGCAAAAAAAAAGUUGAAACGCCGAACAAAUAAGACAUCGACUCGAGUUGAUGAGUCCUUCGAGACGCUCUUCGUUGACAUCAAGUAUGGGGUGCUAGAACCAUUUGCAUAGACCAAGAAGGGGGCUUCUGUACAGAUGUUGAGAGAACUAUUUGAUGGAGCUAAGGCGGAUGCAAAAAAUCAGGUCAUGAGCGAAGCCUACAAGUCCUGCAGUGAACUUGAUGAGUUCUUUGAGACACUCUUCGUUGAUGUCAAGUAUGGUGUGGUGAAGCCUCUCGAAGAGAAGAAAAAGAAGAUGAAGAAGAAGUGAAUUGCAUGUCUGAAAUGGAAGUCAGACCUGACGGUCACCUUUUGUAAAAAUGACUAUGUAUUUAGAUGUGUGUCUUCUGAUCUUUGGAACUUGCUACUGCAGUAGUAACUAAUUAAAGCACUCUAUGUGCUGCUGAUAGUAGUAACUGCUGGUGUCUCGUAGUUUGUAAGACCUAAUAGAAGCACUGUAUGUGCUUGUAUAAGUGUCGAGAACUACUAAGUAUAUGCAAGUGUCUGUUAGCUGAUGUAUGCACUUUAUAAGCUCUUGCCUGCUAGUUUUCAUGAAUUACCUCUGGUGACCUUUUUUCGUUGCAUGCUUGGGUGGCCACAGCCCCCAAAAACCUUUAAAGCACUACAACUAGGUUUGAAUCCAGCGCUUUCAUCCAAAAAAUGAGUCAUGCAAGUAUUUGGACAUGUACGUAGCUGAAAAUCUAAAAAAUAAUCAUUCACAACAUAAUUAACAGCAAAUUGUGAAAACUUAAAUAAAAAAUCAUCAUCAGCUUCAUCAUCUGUGGCAACGGCAGGUGCGACAACUCCAUCGUCAAUAUGAGCGUCAACAUCAUCUUCACCCUCAUCGCUAAAGUCUUCAUUUGGUUCUGGUACAGAAUGAGCAAUUGCUUUCUCAAUAACAGAUGUGUCAAUUGCUUCCCCUUCCAUAUCCGUUCGUCGCCAAUUCAUCAAGUCCCCCUGGUCGCUUCUAACAGUCAUGUGCUCCACCCCAACAAGUAAUGAGUCAACAUCAAAUUCUGAUUCCUCUUCAACAAUAGCUGAUUCCGGCAUGGAGAAAAGGUUUCUUGGUUUGAUUCGAACAACGCUGCACCAAUUUGAUUUCUUUGCAUGCUUGACAUAAAACACCUGCUCUGCUUGUGUCGCUAGAAUAUAGGGUUCAUCUGAAUAUCUGAGACGAGUAGUAUCAAUAUCUAUGAUUCCAUAUUGAUCUUUGUUAUACCCUGAACCUUUUUUCUUUGUUGGAGCGGGGACAUCGAACCAAUCGCACUGAAACAUCAUCACUUCCUUUCCACCAGGGAACGGUAGAGAGAUAAUUUUCUUAAUAACUCCAUACCAGUCCAUAUUACCCGUACUUUCAUCACCCUUAACAAGGACACCACUGUUUUGUGUGAUCAAGCUCGUCUCUGCCGACACUGUCCGAAAUAGGAAGCCAUUGAUGAAACAUCUAUUGAAUACACGAGCACGAUCAUCAGGUCCUUGAGAAAGGUUGUACAACAGCUCACUUGCUUUUCCUUGCUCAUAUUCUUGUUUGAUCUGUACUUCCAUUUAACAAAAAUUAAUAAGAUGCUUUCAUUACAUGCAUCAUAAUAUGAAAAAAAAUCUGGUGACUUACUUUGUCCUCAAACCAACCAACAAAUUGUUGCUUGUGUCUUCUCUCAACAUUAUGCGGAUUAUAUUUCUUUAGUAAAGCCUUAUGUACACUGCAGUGGGUAGACCAAACAAAAUUAAUGCAAAGAAUUAGUAAUAUAUCAUGUAAUCAAUAAAAUAGCAUGCUCAAAUGUUAAAUUUAACUAACUCAGGCAAUGUAGCACACUCAUGCGUAUUUGUUAGUAUGUAGUGCCUUAUUCUCAACAUCUCAGAGUCGUCCAACGCCUCAGAACUAUAACCUUUCCUACUGUAGUCAAGGUCACCAAAAACGCUCAAACCAGAUGGUGGUUGAAGCACUGUGGCACUUUCAUGGCGCUCUGGGCGACUUGGCAUAUCUUUGAAGAACUCAGAACAAAAUGUCAUGCACUCUUCUGUGAUAUAUCCUUCUGCUAUUGAGCCUUCAGGAUGUGCUUUGUUUCUCACAUAACCGUUUACUGUACGCAGAUAUCUCUCCAUAGGAUACAUCCAUCUAUAGUAUACAGGUCCACCAAGUGAAGCCUCUUCAGCUAGAUGAACUGGCAAAUGUACCAUGAUGUCAAAAAAGCAGGUGGAAAUAUCAUCUCAAGCCGACAUAGAGUCUCCCUAAUCGAAGUACUCAUGUUAGCAAGCUCCUUUACAUCUAGCUCCUUUGAACAAAGCAAACUAAAGAACCUACUCAAGUCAUUCAAUGGGACAACAACUUCUUCAGGCAGAAUGUUGCGUAGUACUAAUUGUAAAAGUUUCUGGAAUAUAAUAUGAUAAUCAUGAGUUUUCAGACUAGACAGCUGACACCGAUUUUCAUCCACACAUCUUCGAAUAUUGGACGCGUACCCAUCAGGCAACUUAACUUCAUGAAGAAAUUUGCAUAAAAGUUUCUUGUCAUCUUUUCCUAAUUUGUACAAAGCAGGUGGUAAGGUGAACUUACCAUUGUCACGCACUGGAUGUUGAUCCAUCCUUAUCCCGAGAUGUUGCAUGUCAAGCCGAGCUUCCUCAUUAUCCUUACUUUUACCUUCUAUGUUUAGCAAAGUGCCAAUAUGCUCUCACAUAUAUUUUUCUCGAUAUGCAUCACAUCCAAGUUGUGCCUAAUAAGCAAAUUUUUCCAGUACGGAAGCUGAAAGAAAAUACUCUUCUUCCUCCAGUUGUGCCAUCUCUUUUCUUCAUCACGCUGCUUCCUUUUUCUUGAUUCAGGACCUAAUUGGACUUGAUCAAAACUAUCAUACUAUUGCAACACCUGUUCUCCAGUUAGUGGUUGUGGUGCCUCCCUAUUUUCUAUCUUGUUGUUGAAGCUGACCUUGUUUUUGCGCCACUUGUGGUCCAUAGGCAAAAACCGACGAUGCCCCAUAUAGCAAUGCUUCCCACCAUGUUUCAGCCAUAAGUAUUCUGUUUCCACAUUGCAGUAUGGACAUGCAAACUUACCUUUCGUACUCCAUCCAGAAAGCAUCGCGUAUGCUGGAAAGUCAUUAAUUGUCCAUAGUAGAAUUGCAUGCAAAUCAAAAUUCUUCCUCUCCUUUGCAUCCCAGGUCACGACACCCUCUUCCCAGAGAACUUUGAGCUCAUCAAUUAAAGGCUGCAAGUAUACAUCAAUGCUAAUGCCAGGAAACCUCACUCCUGGUAUCAUCAUGGACAACAUCCAAUACGACUGUUUCAAACACAACCAUGGCGGAAGAUUGUAAGGAAUUAAAAUCACAGGCCAACAACUGUAUGACACAUUCAACAUACCAAACGGAUUGAAUCCAUCAGAUGCUAGACCAAGCCUGACAUUGCGAGGAUCAUUUGAAAACCAUUCAUAGGUUGCAUCCACAUGCUUCCAUGCUUUGGAGUCCGCGGGAUGCCGCAUUUUUCCAUCAACCACCAAUUCAUCCUUAUGCCAAUGCAUAUAUGAUGCUCUACUCUCUGACAUAUAUAUCCUUUGGAGCCGUGGAAUCAGUGGGAAGUACCGUAGGAUUUUACGUGGAACACGCUUGUCUGAGCCACAACUACUGCCAACAUCUUCUACCUUUUUGGACUGCCUCCACCUUGACUCACCACAUUUUGGGCAAUUAUCCAGGCCCUCAUAUUCUUUCCCUCUAAAUAACAAACAAUUAUUAUAGCAUGCAUCUAUCUUUUCAUAAUUUAGACCAAGGUCUCUAACAACCUUUUUGAUCUUCUCCAUACUAUCUGGCAGACAGUGCCCUUUAGGAAGAAUUAACAAAAACAGCCCAAGCACGAACUCCAUGCAAGCAUUACUACAACCAAACAUGCACUUCAUCUGAAACAUUCUGACAAUGAAAGACACUUGGGUUGCUUCUGUGCAACCUGGAAACAACUCCUUCUUGGCCUCUUGAAACAAUUUAAUGAAUUUCUUUGCCUUCUCAUUUGGAUGUUCCUCGUUGAGUUCUCCAUGUAUCUCUCCCCUGAUCAGUGAAUGUAACAUUUCUUGGGUACCAGCCAUAUCAUCAACAUCAUCAUCACCAUCAAUACCAGAACCUUCACAUAUACUUUCCUGCUCUCGGAUGAAGCUUUCAUCAAAACCUUUCCUAAGCAAAUGCUUCUGGACAUCUGACCAUUUUGCUGAAUGACAUGGAACGGCAUGCUGAACAUGGACAUGGCGCCGUUCCUCCUUUCGAGCUACCUCCAAAGGUGCUAUCAAGAAAAUCUGUUAAUCCUUGUUGCCACUCUCCAGCCGCAUCCAACUACUAACCUCAUGUGACAUUAUUUCCAACACCUGACAAACACACGCAAAGAUAAAUAAGUACAUGCUACGUAUUGCAAACAAAGUCAAAGUAAAUAGCAAUAUGAUUGAUCGAUUAUAACAACCUACUUCUAACAAUUAAUAUUUUUACCAUAAUAGAAAAUUAGGGCAGCACCUUAUUUAAAUACGCAGCAAGAACAAUAAUAUAAAAAAACAAAUGAAUGUAUGACAAAAUUAACAUGUACGUACCCUCUAGACUAUACAUAAAUCUUAUAAUAUAUAUAUGUACUAAUUUAUAUAUCUUGCAAAGCAAAAACAAAUCAAGUAAACAUAUUUUCAAUUCAAUUAACAUAUUUCAUAAUUAUCGAGGAUCACUCUAAGAUUCUAACAACUAAAUUAGAACAAAAAUAUGACUACAUGAGUACUGAGUACUACCAGUCCGAAAUAAUUAAUUUAGUCAAAAACGAUUCAAUGAAAAAAAGACCUAUAAGUCAGGACAGAUCGGCUAAUGACCUGAUGACUAUUGACGAACUGAUAGAUGAUUUGAUGUAGAAAUCGGCACAGGGCUGGGGCCUGCUCGAUCGUCGUGACAGCCUAAGCUUGAUCGGCACAAGGAGCAAGGACGCAGCAGGAGAUGCACCUCCCAGUUAGGGUCAGCAGGAGGAUGCGGCGUCAUCUAGUGCAGAUCAUCAACAGAAGCUGCGCCUCCUUGGUCAGCGGAUGGAUGUCGUGUUGACACAGAUUAGCAGUAGAAGAUGCGCCACCUACGGCCAGUGGGAGUAUGCGGCGUUGCUUCACCUCCUAGGGCCAGCGGGACAAUGCGCGGCGUCGCCUGCCGGUCCCCUCGCCCACGUACGUCGGACCGAAAACAAAAAGAACGAGGAAACAUAUCUUACGUAAAUACAUAUAGAGUCCAAACAUGAUUCGAUAGCAGUAUAAAAGAUUUUGUAUACUAGUCCAUGCAAAUACAAAUAACUAGCUUGGUGGUCAUGCAUGACGUGAACAAACCAGAGGGCACAGGUUCGACUCCUCUUACAGGUGCUAUUUUUUUAAUUAACAAUUCACUUUUUAUUUAACCUUGCAUCAAACACAAAUCUGUUGCAACAGUACUUCCUAAUUGCAUCCAUAUUCUAAACCAGUGCAACACAACCAACAUAAUGCAUCGACAAAUCAGUACUAACGCAACCAACGGUGUCCGAUGCAAUAAUUUCUACCUAUUGCAUCCCUUGUUUGAAAUGAUAUUAUAGAUCAUAGCUAUUGCAUCGACACGAAUUAUUAUGGCAUCCAUCUAAUUUUCGAUGCAAUAAGAACGACCUAUUGCAUCAAAUUUCGAAAAUUGAUGCAAUAGCGUCCACCUCUUGCAUUAGAUUUGUAUUUGAUGUAAGAGGCCUUGAUGCAAUAGGGUAAAAAUUUAGUAGUGCUAACACCACUUGAAUACUAGGUUAUCAUCCCCAGCAUGGCACUAGAGUGUACUAUGGUAUUUAUACGCACACAGAUAAAUCCACAAGCGCACGGAUACCGUUGUAUCUUUUACCCGGUUAAAGGUUUUAUCGUAUCCACAGGGAAACGGGAGAACCAACUACGCUCUAACUUAACCAAGAUAAAUAGAUAGGUGUAAAUAGGAAAGAUGGUAGAAUUGAAUAAGAACAAUAUUAAAGGUAAAAUGAUAAUGAGGGAAUAUAGAGAGUAGAGCAAUCUAGGAUAUGGGCGAUAAUAGGAGAAUAGAGAGGAUAACUAGGGUUUCUCUACUUCAAAGGGGUAUGUCUGUCUGUGGCGUACCAUAAGUAUAAAACAACACAGAGGAUGCUUAUACCUAAGGUCGAGGACUCCUACCAGUCCUGCUAACGGGAGGUGGACUACGAAGGACCAUCAUUGCUGUCACCUACAUGGCCUACCACACGUUCCGGCUAACAGAGGAUAUCCACAAGUAAUCUAGGCCUAAGCACCACGCUUACACCUAUACUACAACUCUCACCUAUAGUGUCCUAUAGAUUAAAGUACUGAAAAGAGUUACGAACCAGAACAUACAUGGAUAGUAAUUGCAUAAUGAAAUAGAAGUAGAUUACCAGAGUCAUCCCAUGAGCAAGCUUGAUUAGAGCUUGAUCAUGUCGAACUACAACCGGAGGAAGAACCGACAGGCCGGCCUCUCCUCCAAUCCUCCCUCGCUCUCCAUCUCGCUACUAUCUAGAUCUACUCUAGUUUAGAGAUGAGAGGAGAGCUCUCAUCUCCAAACCCUAGCUUUUGCUCUGUCUAUGAAUAAUGAAUAGGGAUCAAGGGGUUGUCUCCACCAGGGGCUAGGGGGCCUGCUUAUAUAGCCCCUCCAAAUGAAUGGGGCCGUCGGAUCAAACCGACCUUAAUCGCACGAUUUUCCUUAAUCCUUUAGGUCGGUGGAGCAUAAUCGGCGAGGCGGAGCCUGAUUGGUUCCUGUAGGAGGGCGGGCGCCCUGCCCCCAGGCCCACUCGGCCUCCCAUUCAUUCCCGUGGCUUCUGAGUCUUCUAGAUGAUAGAAAAUUGCCGCACACGUCAAUAUCUCUAUGUAAACCCGAUGUGUGGGCCUUUCCUCCAUAUUUCCUGAUAACCCCUUGCAGAAAUAGACAAACACCAAAACUCAUGGAAUUCUGUCACAUAAAACCCUAAGUCUGGGUGUUGGUUGCAUUUGGAUUCUUUUCUUUGUUUAUUUGAUAAUUAAAUUUGGUACUUAAGGACCGUCAACAACGGUUAAUUAUUAACCGUGGCGGUUGUCUUCUGGCCUGGCCGGCUUGAACCGGCAGUGAAUAACCAUGGUGGGCGAAACCAACGCCCGCCUCGGAGGGCUUAUGUGUAACGUUGUGCAAAAUAAAAUUUGUAGUAGUAUGUACUAUCUCCUCUUUUGCUGUUGUGGAAAUGAUCAAACUCUAGCACUGUAACAAAGUAAGUGUGUGUACUUUCGAAAGUGAAAUGCUUCUGCUACUUAAACUUGGCUUGUAAUAACUAUAUUUGAAAUCUGAUGUAAUUUCUAAAUGUUGUGAACUUGAUGUAAUUGUGGAUGGUGACUGCUAAACUUAUUACGAUCUUGGCUGUAUGUGCGAAAUGUGGUUUGAAAUCCCUCGAGAUUUCACAGACUACCGGGAUUAUAUGGGCUUAAGCCUGAUGGUUUAACUACGCAAGUGGUCACUGCCACGCUUAAUCUCUUAUAAUUUGGACGAUUCUGUUACAGAAUCCUCUUGACAGAUUUGGAAACCAAUCGAAGAUUGAUUCCUUCUAGUUCUAAUCCUAUGUAGCUAUGCUAAACUAGAAAUCUAGUUGAUGUGGUGGCUCUAGGGCUUGAUCAGGGGCUUCUCCUCUUAAGAUUAAUAUGAAUAAUGAAUUGUUGGCUCUCUCCAGGAGGCAAGGGCCUUGCUUAUAUAGCCUCCUCACAUGAACGUCGGCCGUCGGAUCAAACUGACCUUAAUUAUGUGGUUUAGAUUGAUCCUCAAGGUCGGUGGAGCAAGAUCCAUGAGGGGAGCCUGAUUGGCCAGGGAGCCAGGGCGGUCGCCCCCCUAGGGCGAGCCCCCUAGGUGUCACAGAACCAACCAAAUUAUAAGAGUUCAAGUGUAGAAACGAUCGCGCAGGCAAUCAUGUUUCCAAACUUGAGCUCAUAUAAUCCCGGUAGUCAACUGAAACCACGAAGGAUUCCAAACCAACUUCACGACAAACCAAGAUCGUAAUAGUUCAGCACAACACAACGAUUGUUACAUAGUUAAAACGCUGUCGAUGAAGCGACACCACAUCAGAGUUUACUUAAGUUAUUACAACACAACUUCAAGUAGCGGAAGCAACAUAGUUUUCACACACACAUCACUAGUUCUUAUUACAGCCAGGGUUUUAUCACAGCCACCAAAAGCAUCAUAGGUACGAAAUCGUUAGAGAACCGCGCCAACAGUUUAGUCCUCAUCCCCAGCGGGGUGAAGACAGGUCUUGCAGAAACCAUCAUAGAAGAUGUCAUCUGCAACAAGCGGGAAUAAACCCUUAGUACGAGGAUGUACUCAGCUAGAGUUACCCAUCUAACCACACAUAAAAGACACCAAGGAUCAUGCAAGGCUGAGUAUAAGUGGAGCUGGCUUGACUCAUAAAUUUGCGAAAGUGCUUAAAUUGGUUAGUAACCAUUCUUAUUAGCAUCAUUUCGAUUAUCAUUAGCCUAUCACUAGAUUAGCACCUGGACUAAGCACUUUGUUGAUAUUUGGGAACGCAAUAAGGAAUUGAUCCGCAAGCACACGGAUCUCGGUGAGCACUUCACCCGGGAGGUUAUCUAGAGUAUCGUAUUUAUUUUUUUACCACUAGGAGAAAGAGUGCAUCUGACUAACCCGGUCUAUUACUACUAACCCUUUAGGCAACAAAGAAUGUUUCUCGAUGUGAGUGAUAAAUAGAGAAGACUGCAACCGUAGUCUCCUUCUAACCUUGGUAAGGAUGAUCUACUGUUCUAUUGGGGAGGCUAAUGGAAUCUAGACACCACAGAGGAUGUUCAACCCGCACCUAUAAACCCUAUCCUUCCUGCUAACGAGAUAUGGUCUUCAAACGUAACUCGGAAAUGUCACGUUCCUCGCUACUACCACGGUCUAGCUAGUCAGGGAAUAUCAAUGAGUACCCUAGGCUAAACACAACGUUUACGCUAGCAAUGAUUACUCUAAACUCUACGCGAAGAGAUUAAAGUAAACUCAUAAACCAAAAGAACAAUAAAACAAGAACUUACUAGAAUUUAGAAGUCAAAAUACUGAAGAAUACUAGGAGCAAGCUUUGGGUUAGGAGAACUUGAUCCCGCAGGUACAAACUCGGAGUAGACACCGACAGGCCGGGCUUCCUCUGAUCUACACCUCCACUCUAUCUUUGUCAAUCUAGUAGAAACUAGAAGAUCUAUUUCUACUCACAUUGGUUGCUAAGCCUAAAAGAACUUUUGUUUAGAGAAGAGGUUUUCCUUCAAGGGCACCCCUCAACUCUAUGAUAAACUUGUCUCCUCCAAGGGCCAGGGGGUCUGGUUUUAUAGUCCCUUCAAGUGAACGUGAGCCGUUGGAUCAAACCGACAUUGAUUGGACAGUUAUCCUUGAUCCUUUAGGUCGGUGGAGCAUCGUGUGCGAAAAGAGUUCUGAUUGGCAUCCAACAGAGGGCGGGCGCCCAAGUCAACUAGGCGGGCGCCCAGGGCUUGGCUCCAUUUGGCCUCUGCUUCCUUCCCGUGGCUUCUGGAGUCUUCUAGAUGGUAGAAAAUUGCGCGGUGCGUUGAUAUCUCUAUGUAAUCCCGAUAUGUGGGCCUUUCUUCCUUAUUUCCUGAUAACCCUCUGCAGAAACAGAUAAACAACAAAACUCGUGGAAUUCUGUCAAAUCAAACCCUAAUUCUAGGUGUUGUUUGCAUAUUGGUCCUUUCUCUUGUUUAUUUGAUAAUUAAAAUUGAUACUUAAGAACCGUCAACAAAUACCCCCAUACUUAGGCUUUUACUCGUCCUCGAGAAAAGGAUCGUUAAGAACAAUAUCUGGGGUAAAACAUUUUAAAACAUUCUCUUCAUAACUGCAGAGUGUUUAAAAUCCACUGUGUACUGUAGUCAGGGAAGAAUAUGGUUAAGAGUAAAUAUCCUUUCUUCUUGAUCCUGUCACUUGGAGUUUUUCUUUUAUUUUUGAAAAGAAAGUUAGCACACCUUUUAUCCUCAUAGGUUCUUUCUGAUCACUCAUUAUCUUUUAUAUCUCACUGAGGCUGUUUUAAUUUACAAAAAUUCUUAAGCAUACUUACUUUGCAUUUAUUGCCUGAUCAAAAUGGGAUCCGAGGAGGGAAAUGUCAUACUCUUAGAUCAAAGACUUUGGAAAUUAAAAUCUUUGUCAACUCUUGCUGGCAUAUUGCUUAUUAGAGGGACCAUGGGCUAUCAUUUUCUUUUUUUUCUCUUUUUUUAAGUAGAUACCGAGGUACCCCUAAUUCUACUGCCGGACACUUGUCCUUUUUUUAUGAGGUUGUCGAGCACUUGCCCCUUUUUAUUUCCUCAAAAUAUCUUUAUUUUUGCAUAGCCCAUGCCUCUAAUGCAAUAAUACUUCGGAAAAGUGAAUCUUUCUGAAUAAAUGUCUUGAUCUUAGGAGCAUGAUAAAUCUCUCAACAAGGGUCUAACUCAUUUUGAACAAACUCAAUACAUAGUAGAUAGCUUUUAUAAUUAUAAUUGAUAUUUUCAGUUUUAUCAGGCAUAUAAAACGCUGAGGAUGGUAGCUAGGAUUUUUAAAGAUUUUGAAAUAAAUUCUCCAAGCAACAAUGAUAUCAAGAAUAAGAAAUUCAUACUCUACCAUCUCACAUUCCAUAAUGACUUAAAUAACACAGGGUUUUUAAAAUGAUUUUCAAUAAUUGCAAGUUUUCAGGAAAUAUCAUAGAGAGAUUAAUCAUGAUUAGAAACAUUUUAAAUCUUUAUCAUGUCGGAAACAAUAUUCUGCAUAAGCCAAGAUAUUUGUAUGUGUAAAGUAUGCAGAGUGUGUACCUGAAUUGUGGAGUGGUGUAGUCGAAGUGUGUUUGGCGUGUCGAGGGAUCUCCCCCACACUUGUUUUCUGCUUUCUUGCACAAGAAUAAAGUAGAGACACACAAGACAUAAUAGUAAUAAUAAUAAUAUUCUUUAUUGAUCUUGAGGCAUUUAUUACAAAAGACUAGUAGCAAACUGACGAUAAUAGUAGCAAACUGGUGAUAAUAGUAAACCUAAACCGAAUUUAAAGAUAGAUACUAGGAUGCAUUGCCUCAAGGUCUAAUCUAGAUAACUUAGCGGCGCUCUAAUUCCUUAAUCUUCUUAUUGGCACUAGCAAGGUCAUGCCUAAGGCCUAAUAUAACGGUGUUGUGGUUAGAGAGCUGCCUAGUGAGGGAAUUAAUCGAGGACUGGAGGUCUAUGAUAACUCUGUCUAGCCUGCGAAUGUCCUCAUCAAUAUCCAUUAUAGUCUUGCGACGCUUGGGAGGUGUCUCAAAAGCAUUGAGAGCGUGCUUCGGGGCUGCCUUUGGAGGGAUGAAACGGACUUUGGCUGCUCUAACCCCUUCAAAGUAAGGUCUCUCCUCCUCCGUAGUGUAGCGAAUGCUGCUGAUCUCGCCGCUCCUGUUGGUCUUGACUCCAAUGACCCUCUCAUUGGGUCUAGGUGGAAGGAUCCUUGUGCCUGUUGGCACCUGGAUGGUGGUCUUCGUAUUGGAUGAUGAUCCCUUGAGGAGUAGGGGUUGUGGCGGUGCGGUGAGAACUGGUUGAGCAUGAUAGGAUUGGGUGGAGCUGCGUUGGAGUAAUGGCAUGGCUUCUAGCUGUCGCUCUGUGUUGGCCGGGACGAGAGCACGGGCGUCGGGGUCUUCCUCAGCCUUCAUGUUGAGGUUGAAGGGGACGACUUCCCAAUCAUCGUGGAACUUCUCGGCUAUUGGAGCAGCAAGGGACUAAUCAAGCUCUAAUUGAAGAAGAAGAGAAGGCUUGGUGGUUUGGUGUUUCAAAACGGAUGUCAGAGGUCUGUUUAUAUAGGGGUCAAAAAGUGCCUCUAGGGGUUGUUCUAGUUGCUCCCGUCGAUGGGCGUGUGAAACUUUCCAUCUACGGGAUUAUAAGGAUUACCAUAAGUGCAUUUUCCAUAACAGAGAAAAUCGGGACCGAGGGGGAACAGGAGCUGGGCGCACGCCCACCUGAUUUGGGCGCCCGCCCUCUCUCUGGCCCCUCUAUGGGCCCACUUUAUCGAGCGCGUUUCUAGAUGCAAAACUAUUUAGGAAAAUAUAUAUAUGACCCAAAAACAUCAGAUUAAAAAGGUCGGGCUCUAAUUCUCCAUGGGAUGGUAAAAAUGGACUACGUCUAUUUCUUCUAAUUCUUUAUUGGGCUCUAAAAAUAAUUUAAGACGUUGACCAUUUACCUUGAAUAACGUACCUUCAUCAUUUUGAAGUGUGAUAGCUCCGUGGGAUGAUGAAUUGAUUACCUUGAAUGGUCCUUCCCAUUUACUUCGGAGUUUUCCACGCCCGAAAAGCUUCACCCUGGAAUUAAAAAGUAAUACCUUAUCUCCGGGUGCGAACUCCUUCUUCUUGAUUCUCUUGUCAUGCCACCUUUUGACUCUUUCUUUGUAGAUCUUUGAAUUGUGAUAUGCUUUCUCUCGCCAUUCUUCCAAUUCUGAUAGUUGCAUUCUUCUAUGAUUUCCAGCGACAUCUAGGUCCAUAUUCCAUCUCUUUUAUGGCCCAGUGUGCUUUGAACUCUAGUUCAACAGGUAGGUGGCAAGUCUUCCCGUACACCAAUUGGUAUGGGGACAUUCCAAUUGGAGUCUUGUAUGCUGUCCGGUAUGACCAGAGUGCAUCCGGUAACUUGUCUUUCCACGUUGUUCCCAUUUCAUUUACUGUCUUCUGAGGAAUAUUCUUGAUUUGUUUGUUGGAGGUCUCUGCUUGGCCACUUGUCUGAGGAUGAUAGGGGGUAGCGACGUUGUGACGGAUUCCAUGUUUUGAUAGAUAUUGCUUGAAGCGUUUGUUGAUGAAGUGUGCUCCUCCAUCACUUAUCACUACUCUGGGAACUCCAAAUCUUGGAAAUAUGAUUUCUUCAAACAUCCUCUUUGAACUGAUGUUGUCGGCAUGCUUGCAAGGUAAUGCCUCUACCCACUUAGAGACGUAGUCAACUGCCACCAAGAUGUACUCACACUUCUUUGAUGGGGGAAAUGGACCCAUGUAGUAUAUUCCCCAAACAUCAAAGAGCUCAAUCUAAAGGUUGUUGGUGAGUGGCAUGGCAUCUCUUGUGUUUAUGUUUCCGUGCCUUUGACAUGGCCCACAUCUUCUGAUAUAUUGCUUCGUGUCUUCAUACAUUGUAGGCCAGUAGAAUCCACACUGCCAGAUCUUUGAAUGUGUACGGAAUGCUCCAUAAUGACCUCCAUAUGGUGAUGAAUGACAUCUGUCGAUGAUCUUCCAUCCUUCCUCAGUGGUCACACAUCUCCUGAGUAAGCCAUCAGAGCAUACUCGGAAGAGGUAUGGCUCAUCCCAUAUAUGUGAACGACUUUCCUGAAUAAGCUUCUUCUUGUUUGCUCCUGGUGGUACAUACCCUGAAACCAUAAAAUUAACAAUAUCUGCAUACCAGGGGUCAGACCUGUUAAUCCCAUAGAGCAUGUCGUCCCGGAGUGAAUCAUUGAUGGGGGUUUCCAGUGGACUCUUAAAAUACAUUCUAGACAAGUGAUUAGCAACAGAAUUUUCUACUCCCUUUUUAUCUUUUAUUUCUAAGUCAAAUUCUUGAAGUAAUAAAAUCCAUCUAAUCAGGCGAGGUUUAGCAUCUUUUUUAGUGAGCAAAUAUUUUAGUGCAGCAUGAUCAGUGUAAACAAUUAUUUGAGCUCCAACUAAAUAAGAUCUAAAUUUAUCAAUGGCAAAGACAACAGCCAGAAGCUCUUCUAGUGGUUGCAUAAUUAAGUUGAGCUCCUGUCAAAGUUUUACUGGCAUAAGCAAUUGCAUGAUGCUUCUUAUCUUUAGUUUGUCCCAAAACUGCCCCCACAACAUAAUCACUAGCAUCACACAUAUGGUUGAAUGAUUGGUGCAGAGAUGAGUGCUUUCUUUAAUAAAUUGAAAGAUGUUACACAUGCAUCAUCAAAUUCGAAAGGAGCAUCCUUGGCUAGCAAAAGAGUAAGUGGUCUAGCAAUAAAUGAAAAAUCUUUUAUGAAUCUACGAUAAAAACCUGCAUGGCCAAGAAAGCUUUGAAUUCCUUUUAUAUUCACAGGUGGAGGUAGUUGUUCAAUUACUUCAAUUUUAGCUUUGUCUACCUCAAUACCUCUUUAGACACUAGGUGUCCUAGCACUAUUCCUUCCCUAACCAUAAAAUGACAUUUUUCCCAAUUAAGGACUAAGUGCUUUUCUUCACAUCUUUGCAAAACCUUGUCUAAGUUUUCAAGACAACUAUCAAAAGUUUUUCCAUAAACAGAGAAAUCAUCCAUGAAAACUUCCAUUAUCUCUUCAAUCAUAUCAGAAAAUAUAGACAUCAUGCAUCUUUGAAAAGAAGCUGGUGCAUUACAUAACCCAAAAGACAUUCUACGGUAAGCAUAAGUUCCAUAUGGGCAUGUAAAAGUGGUUUUCCUUUGAUCAUUGGGAUGGAUCGGGAUUUGGUGAUACCCUGAAUAUCCAUCUAAGAAACAGAAGAACGAAUGGUUCGCUAAUCGCUCUAGCAUUUCAUCUAUAAAAGGUAAAGGAAAGUGAUCCUUUCUCGUGGCUUUGUUUCGUUUUCUAUAGUCUAUGCACAUCCGCCAUCCUGUGACGGUGCGUUGCGGAAUUAGCUCGUUCUUUUUUUUCAUAAUAACAGUCAUGCCCCCCUUUUUAGGCACAAAUUGAACUGGGCUCACCCACUCACUAUGCGGCACAGGAUAUAUAAUCCCUACAUGCAGCAACUUUAUAACUUCCUUUUUAACUACCUCUCUCAUAGUGUUGUUAAGUCUACGUUGGAGUUCUCGAGAAGGUGAAACAGAAGGAUCUAUUGGAAUACGAUGGGUACAAAUCAUAGGACUGAUUCCUGUAAGAUCUUGGAGUGAGUACCCAAAAACUGAGUGAUGUUUCUCAAGAAUGGUCAUUAAUCGUAGAGUUUGCUCCUAAGUGAGUUUAUCACUAAUGAUCACAGGAAACUCUAGAUUAUUGUUUAGGAAAGCAUAGAUAAGACCGGGUGGUAAAAUAUUAAGCUCUAUGGGAGGUCUAGGUGUUUCUGCAAACUCAUCUAAGGGUUCAAGUUCAGAAGGUUCAGCUUCUUCUUCUAUGAAGAAAGGAGUUUCGUCUUCUAAGUCUGGUUCAUCUAAAAGCUCUAGAGAUGCAGCCUUUACCUCCUCCAUAGGAUCAGGCAAAAGAUAUGACUCGGCCUUAUUGUUUAAGGAGUGUGAAAUUGUUAUUGGAAAUUUAAAAGUUUUCCCAAAAGAAAUAUGUAGCUUUCCAGUAUGACCUUCAUAAAGGAGUCUCCUAACAGGUUGUCCUAUCAACAGGUCAAAGUCCCAUGUAUCAAAGAUAUAGAAGUUCAAAUGAACCAUGGAGCCUUCUACCGUAAUGGGUAGGACAUUAAUAAUUCCAAGACUGGGAACAAAUCGUCCCGAAGAUUCCUUUAUGACCUUUGUUGUGGGGGUUAAGAACAAAUUUUUAACUAGCUUAAGUGCAAAAGAUUCAGACAUGAUGUUGAUCCCCACAACAGGAUUAUAGAGAGCAUCAAAUCGAUCAGAAAUAUAAGCACAGCGUAUAGUUAUAGAGGGUGUGUCCAAACGGAUCACAUCAGAGGAAAGCUCUGAUUCCUCCAACCACUCGCUACUCAUGACUGAGAUAAGCUCUCUCAAUUGAUAUUCAGUUGGCAAACAAAUGCUAAGAUGGCCGUUUUGGGGUCUGUUAGUAGAAUGAUAGUUUGAAAUGUUUCCAAAAGAUCAGAUUCUAUAUCCAGCAUGAAGUCCGGUGGUGGAAUUUCUUCCUUUUGUGGCUCAGAACUUGGGAUAGCUAAAGUAGAUGAAGAAUUUAGCAGUGUCUACUUCGGCUUCGUAGGUUUCAUCAUGAAUGGUAUUAUCCAUCUCAGCUUCUAGGAUUCUAUCUAAGAUCACUCUAGCUUCAUCAGUAGGGAUGCGAAAGAAAGAACCUCUAGACAUUGUAUGUAGCAUUUGUUUAUGAUCUUUCUGAAGACCUCAAAAAAAGUGAAAUAAAAGAACAGGGUCUUCAAGAUUAAGGUUUGGACCAGAUUCUAAUAGAUCAGAAAAAUGUUUCCAGGAUUUUCCCAAAGUUUCAUUAUCUUUUUGUUUAAAAGAUAGGACUUCGAGUCUAAGGUCGCCGAUACGGUCGAGGGAAUAAAAAUCUAGACAAAAAUUGGCUCGUAAAACUCCCCAUUCACCUCGUUGUUGACUUACCUUCUGACUGUACCAUUGUCUAGCUUCUCCCCUUAAGGAAAAAGGAAAAAGCUUCCAACGUAAAGUUUUAUCAGAAAUGCCUUCAAUGCGAAGACAAUCACAUGUUUGCUAAAAAUCUCUAAUAUGAAGGUAAGGGUUUUCGUCUUCCUUUCCCGAAAAAGAUAGGUUUUGAAUCAUGGCAAUCAACCUAGAACUUAACCUAUACUGGGAUGUUUGGAUAGGCUGUGACGACUCCCAUGGUAAAAGGUCAGUUUCUGAAGGUGUUGCAAAUUCAUGGAUCGAUUUAGCAUUUUGGUUUUCCAUAAGGUAAGAAUAAAGAAAAUAAACAAAGAAUAUAAAAGGUAAGAAAAGAUAAAAGUAUAGAUACAAGCUAGUAGUAAGACUCAAGGUUAUCUCAGCAAACCAUCUUUCUCCCCGGCAAUGGUGCCAGAAAUGCAUGUUGAUAUUUGGGAACGCAAUAAGGAAUUGAUCCGCAAGCGCACGGAUAUCGGUGAGCACUUCACCCGGGAGGUUAUCUAGAGUAUCGUAUUUAUUUUUUUACCACUAGGAGAAAGAGUGCAUCUGACUAACCUGGUCUAUUACUGCUAACCCUUUAGGCAACAAAGAAUGUUUCUCGAUGUGAGUGAUAAAUAGAGAAGACUGCAACCGUAGUCUCCUUCUAACCUUGGUAAGGAUAAUCUACUGUUCUAUUGGGGAGCCUAACGGAAUCUAGACACCACAGAGGAUGUUUAACCCGCACCUAUAAACCCUAUCCUUCCUGCUAACGAGAUAUGGUCUUCAAAGGUAACUCGGAAAUGUCACGUUCCUCGCUACUACCACGGUCCAGCUAGUCAGGGAAUAUCUAUGAGUACCCUAGCCUAAACACCACGUUUACGCUAGCAAUGAUUACUCUAAACUCUACGCGAAGAGAUUAAAGUAAACUCAUAAACCAAAAGAACAAUAAAAUAAGAACUUACUAGAAUUUAGAAGUCGAAAUACUGAAGAAUCCUAGGAGCAAGCUUCGGGUUAGGAGAACUUGAUCCCGCAGGUACAAACUCGGAGUAGACACCGACAGACCGGGCUUCCUCCGAUCUACACCUCCACUCUAUCUCUCUCAAUCUAGUAGAAACUAGAAGAUCUAUUUCUACUCACAUUGGUUGCUAAGCCUAAAAAGGAAUUUUGUUUAGAGAAGAGGUUUUCCUUCGAGGGCACCCCUCAACUCUAUGAUAAACUUGUCUCCUCCAGGGGCCAGGGGGUCCGGUUUUAUAGUCCCUUCAAGUGAACGUGGGCCGUUGGAUCAAUCUGACAUUGAUUGGACGGUUAUCCUUGAUCCUUUAGGUCGGUGGAGUGUCGUGUGCGAAAAGAGUUCUGAUUGGCAUCCAACAGAGGGCGGGCGCCCAGGGCCUGGCUCCGUUCGGCCUCUACUUCCUUCCCGUGGCUUCUGGAGUCUUCUAGAUGGUAGAAAAUUGUGCGGUGCUUUGAUAUCUCUAUGUAAUCCCGAUAUGUGGGCCUUUCUUCCUUAUUUCCUGAUAACCCUCUGCAAAAACAGAUAAACAACAAAACUCGUGGAAUUCUGUCAGAUCAAACCCUAAUUCUAGGUGUUGUUUGCAUAUUGGUCCUUUCUCUUGUUUAUUUGAUAAUUAAAAUUGAUACUUAAGAACCGUCAACACACUUCACUUGAUUAUUAACAACCAAUAAUAACCAUAUCAAGUUUCAACAUAUGUUCUUUCGUGCUAUCAUCAACAUCAUCAUUAAGGAACCAUUUAGUACAUAGUGGAUGCUACGUUUGUCGCUGCUAUGUCAAGUUCUCACUAUCCGGGAGAGAUGGUGAUUCGAAUUGAUUCCUAUCGAGCUAGAGGGUUAUUCCUAGCACUCACUCAUGCAUCCCUCAUCGGAGAGCAAGCGGGUGACCUUUGGUACGACUCACGAAUCCUGGCUCCGAUCAGCGCCGCACUCCCAGGGCUGCCACUCUGCUAGGAAGAUCAGGAGUUUUAAAUCACCGACCCUUGGUCUUACGCCAAUGCCCCCCCGCACACCGCACUUCAUCCGGUAGUGCAAACUUUAUACUUGCCGGUCUUCCGGCCUGAGUCAUACUACUAGGCUUGACGGUCGGAACGAGUUAUCUGGCCAACUAAGUGUCAAGCAUGUGUUCAACAUGACAAGAGGACGUACAAUGAUCGGUCCUUAGCUGCCACAGACAGAGUUACUACCACCUUGCAAAACUCCGCCCAACUUAAGUCAUUUUAAUCAGGUUAUUUUCCCACGAUAGCAAAUAUAGCUAACCGUGAUCCAGCAACAGACCCUAUCUCGCGCAGGUGACAGGAUAUCACACGACUUCUACCGAUUAAGCAUGGCUAAGCUACUACUCGAUCCUGACUCUAUACCAGAGUAAGGUGAGAUAUCUAGACAAGAAAAGGUAUAAUGCAGCAAGGGUUCCAUAACAACUCCUAAACAUAAUGCAACAAUAGAUAUAACAUAUUCAAGCAUGCUUGGAAAUUAAAGUGGGAGACUUAAGAUGCUCCGGGGCUUGCCUUUCACGACCGAAGCGGGCUCAUGACUAGGGCACUCGACUUCCUCUUCGGGCUCCUUGGGUUCUGCUGGCUGGACCUCCAUCUCUUGGGUGACUUCCGGACCUUCUGGAUUCACCCUCUCGAGCUCGAACGACACUGCGAUUUCCGAUGCACCUAUUGCAUGCACGUACGGAGUGAGGAAUGUAUGCAUACGAGGAAAUCGUGAAUGCUUGACAUGCUCAUGGUCACAACACUUCACUGGACACCAUUUAUGGAGUAAACUUCUUUACAAGCUUACACAAGAGUCUCACCACAACUUACAAAGAUGUACUAUCCUACAUAAAUAAACAGCAACUACAAACAGCAAGACAGCCCAAAGAAUAACCUAUAACUGGAGAUGUAUAAAUCCAUCAGACAUGAGUUAAGACAUUCUGGAAAGCUCAUAAAAUUAUUCACAUUUAAUCUUUAGACACAUCAGCAAGAUUCACAAGUUAAACAAGUCAAUUUAAACAAAGUUUCAGGUUCUGUCCCAGAAAAACAGAGAGCACCUAGUUCUGGAACUUCAUUUGGAAAAGCUAUAACUCUUAAACUACUUGGCCAAAUGACCCCUAAUUUUAACUACAGCUAGAAAAAAAAGUUUACAACAACUUUGGUAUGGACAAGUCUUCCAGAAAACAAAGCUAACAUCAACAAAUAAUCAGAUUACUCCCUUGCUAUCCAGAACAGCUAUAUAGCCUUUAAUUAAUUAUUUGUCAACAUAGCAAAAGCAUAUUUAGCGUCAACCAAGUGACUGAUAAGAACAAACAUGAUACAAGAUUAUCAGAAAACCAUAUGUUCAUUACUAAAUCCUUAAUUAUGAAGCCUUUAUUAAAUUAAUUCCAUAAAAGGGCAUAAUUAAGAGAUACCAGCAGGGGUGCUCAGAAAAAUCUACAAAAAUUACAAAACCACAAGCAAGACACCUAGACCUUACCAUAAAAUUUUCAGAGCAAUUGCACAUGCCAAACUUAAGAUAUUUAUUUAACAAGAGACAAGGUGCUUAUUACAUAAAUUAAGAAUCAUGGGUUAAACAGUGUCAAACAACAGAUUUCAGAUUAUUUACAUGAUACUACUACCCCACACUUGACACCAAAGAAGAACACCAGCAUAAGCAUACAAUAUUUACUAUGAUUUAAACAAGGAUUUAAGCCAUAACACCAACAUAAAUUACAUAUCAGAGAUACAGUGCUACACAAAUUAUGAAAUAUUUACCAAAGCACACUAGUAUCACACAAAGCAUAGCAUUAAAAUUUCACAGCAAUUGGAGCAGUGUAGCAAGAGAUACUUUGAAAUAGCAAGAUUAAUUCAUAACAAUUAUUUUUCACAGAAAACAUGCCACAUAUUAUAUUUUUAUUAAAAACUAGCCAUCUCAAGGAAUGCCACAAAUUUUGUUUCACAAAUUUUGGAGCUCAAGAAUAGGAGAUGUGAUUUUUGCAAGUUGGCACAAAAAUCUGGGAUUUGAAUAAAAGAGGAGGACGGAAACUAGGUCACUGACAGCGGGACCCACGUGGCAUAGUCACAAAAAACAGAGAGCACACUCGCCGGCGAAUGCUCGCCGGCGGUGAGCUUCUUCGGUGGAUCCAAGGACAUCAGCGUGCUCCCUGAGUCCUUCCGCGUCGAUAGAGGUAGGUGGUUCGAGAGUUGGAGCAACGGGGCGAGGUCGCCGUCGGCCAUGGCGGCACGGUGGGGCUAUCCCGGCUUAUGCCGGCCAUCUCCGACCGGUAGAGUGUCGGGGAAAGGCGGCUUAAGCAUCAGCAAGACAGUGUGGAGCUUCCUAGGUAGAAAGGCCUAACCGUACUGGCUUCAGUGAGCCUGCUCACGUGCAGGGUGGUCGUCGGCGGUGAGCGCGGUGGCACGGUGGCCGUGUUCCCGCACGACAGUGCCACCAAAGACGAAAGGGUGUGACACAAACCAUGACGGUGACCUAAGAAAGCUCUAACACGACUUAGAUAGAAGACAGAAAAAAAAGGAUGGAGCGGCGGCGAGGAUCGCCAGAGUUGGGGUCGCGACGGCCGUGAACCCGAUGACGGAAAACAUGGAAAAUGUGGCUCACCUCAGGGCAACCUCGGGCGACCAAGAGGUGGAGAGAAAGGCAGAGCUCGAGGCAUACUCAGAGAUGCCUGGAGAGGUGGCACGACACGAGGAUGAAGGCGCGUGGAGAUCGCGAAGCUCUUGGCGACAAUGGCGGUGUCGCCUCUGCCGUCGGAGGGUGCGAGAGAGGGACAGAGUGAGUUGGAGAGCGUUGGGCGAGUGUGGGGGUGGUCAUGACAUCCUUGAUGGCAUCGACGGCCUAACCAGUGGGGCCAACGCUGGUGUACGGGCGCCAAAUGGCAUCCAGGUGUUACGCUGGUCGGCCACGAUGGCGAACAAGGCUCGCCAUGAGAGCUUUCGUUGAUGUUUGAUAGAGCUACUUUGAGAAAGAUUAACUCCUAAACCAUGGAGAAUUAGGAGAUGGUGUAGUUGACAAUAUUGGAGUACUAACUAAGUUCUACAAGUUUGUCAACUAGAGCAAGAGCCAAAUCAGCCUAGAUGAAAAGAUAUAGAGCUUCCAAUAUCCUUUAGACAAACUAAUGGCGAUUUUGAGCAAGUUGUGAUAAUUUUCAUGAGAUGGCCAUAAAACAACUUUUGUUCCUUAUAAAAUUUGCUACAACUUUUGUUUAAGAAGUUUUGACAUGCAAAUAAACUAUGAAGCACUUUAUAAAAGCCUAAGCAAAAGAGGUUUAUAAGCCCCCUAGGUGAAACUAUGACUUAGGAACAUAAUUAGAAGAUAUGAUCAACAUGAACAUUGCUCCUUAGGUUGAGUUAAGCAAAGUUAAACCACUUACCAAGGUCCAGGACCCAUACAGGAGCAUGAAAUACUCAAACACUAGCAUAGGAAGCAUAAAUAAACAAAUUAAGCAACACAUACACAUAAAAUGACAUGUCCCAAGAUAUAUGAUGAUCAUGGUAUGCUUAUGAAGACGUUUAUGCUCUUGUCAUUCAUGUGAAAGGAUGCAACCAUAACACUGGGGUGUUACAGCCCUCCCCCUUACAAAAAUCUCAUCCCGAGAUUUGAAAGCUUACUGAUUUUCGAAGAAGGUUUUAUAAAUUUCCUUUAAAUAGUCCUCUGUUUCCCAAGUAGCAUAUUCCUCCUUGUGGUUACUCCACAAAACCUUAUAGAACUUAACCACAUGAUUAUGAGUUACCUGUUCCUUGCGAUCAAUGACCGCCACAGGCUUCUCUUCAUACACCAAGUCCGAUUUCAACUUGAUAUCCCGAACCUCCACUCUUUCUUCUGGAACUCAAAGGCAUUUCUUCAACUGAGAUACGUGGAAAACAUGAAAAAAUAGCUCAUAGAUCCACUAGAAGCUGAACCUUGUAGGCUACUUUCUCUUUCCUCUCACAAUCCGAUAAGGUCCCACAUAACGGGGUGCAAGCUUUCGCUUGACUCCGAACCUUUGUACACCCUUCAUUGGAGACACCUUGAGAUACACGUGAUCCCCGACUGCAAAGUCAAUCGGUUUUCUUCUCUUAUCAACAUAACUCUUUUAACGAGCUUGAGCAGCUUCCAAAUGUUGUUGGAUUGUACGGACUUGCUGCUCCGCUUCGUUCAUGAAAUCGAUGCCGUAAUACCUUCGUUCCCCAGGUUCUACCCAAUUCAACGGAGUUCGACACUUUCGGCCAUACAGGGCUUCAAAAGGAGCCAUCUUGAUGCUCUCUUGGUAAUUAUUGUUGUAAGAGAACUCAGCUAACGGUAACCAUUUCACCCAAGAUCCCUUGUAGGAUAGAGCACAUGCCCUCAACAUGUCUUCUAGGAUUUGGUUAACACGUUCAGUUUGGCCGGCAGUUUGUGGAUGAUAUGCAGAACUUCGAACCAAGUGAGUACCAAUUUGGUCAUGGAGACAUUCCCAAAAAUGAGCUGUGAACUGUGGCCCACGAUUUGAUAUGAUGGUGUGAGGUACACCAUAAUGACGGACAAUGUGCUCAAAGUGCAACUUUGCAUACUGAUGCGGACGGUACUCAGUUCGAACUGGAAUAAAGCGAGCGACCUUGGGCAAACGGUCCAUAAUCACCCAGAUAGAGUCAUAACCCUUAACACAAGUUGGGAGUGUAGAGAUAAAGUCCAUACUUACUUCUUCCCAUUUCGAACCAGGGAUUGGCAAGGGUUGAAGUAAAUCUACUUUCAUGUGAACUGCCUUCACGAGACAACAGUUAUCACAACAGGCAAUAAAAGCAGUGAUUUCCUUUUUCAUCUUUGUCCACCAAAAUAGAGGUUUCAAAUCCUGAUACAUCUUACUACUACUAGGAUGAAUAGAUAGCUUGGACGAAUGAUCUUCAGAUAAGAUCUGAUUUUGGAGCUCAUGGUUCUUUGGUACAACAAGCCGAUCUUUGAACCAUAGAAUUCCAUUCUCAUCGACCCGAAAAUGCUUAGUUUCUUCUUCUUUCAUCUUCCUCUUAAUAUGGUGGAUGCCUACAUCAGGUUGCUACAACUCAAUUACUCGAUUACGAAGAGAGCUUUCUAAGGCAAUCUGGUGAAGCACUAGUGGAUGCAUAAGACGUGACAAGGGUGAGUCUUCAAUCUGAACUGAAUUGCAGUGCUAUUUUCGACUCAAGGCAUCCGCAACCAUGUUUGCCUUGUCCAGAUGAUAGUGCACUUGAAGAUUACAAUCUUUAAUCAACACGAGCCACCUUCAUUGCCGCAUAUUCAAUUCAGGUUGGGUGAAGAUAUACUUAAGACUCUUAUGGUCGGUGUAAAUAGUGCACAGAUUACCCAACAAAUAGUGCCUCCAGAUCUUCAAAGUAUGGACAACUGUGGCCAAUUCUAAAUCAUGAGUAGGGUAAUUGACCUCAUGUUUUUGAAGUUGGCACGAAGCAUAUGUGAUAACGCGACCUUGUUGCAUAAGCACACAGCCCAAACCGAUACCCAAUGCAUCACAAAAGACAUCAAAAGGCUUCUCAAUAUCAGGUUGAGCCAGGACAGGAGCUGAUGUUAGCAAGGUCCUCAACUUAUGGAAUGCUUCCUCACAUUCUGGUGUCCACAUGAACUUCUCAUCUUUCUAAAGUAAGCGAGUCAUAAGCUUGGAUAUUUUGAAGAACUCCGGAAUGAAACAACGAUAAUACCCAGCCAAACCUAGAAAAUUUCGAUCUUGCACUUUGGCCGGAUCCACUGAUAUCCCUUCUUCAGACAAGACAUAGCCCAAGAAAGGUACUUUCUUUAGCUAGAACUCGCAUUUUCUAAACUUAGCAUAAAGCUGAUGCUCACGCAAAGGAGUUAACACUACACGUAGGUUCUCUGCAUGUUCUUCUUCAUUGCGAGAAUAUACUAGGAUAUAUUCAAUGAAGACCACCACAAAGUUGUCCAAUUCGGGCAUAAAGACCUAAUUCAUGAGAUACAUGAAGUGUGCCAGUGCAUUCAUAAGACCGAAGGACAUGACGAGAUACUCAUACAACCCAUAUCUCAUCGAGAAAGCCGUCUUCACGAUAGAUCUUGAUCUGAUGGUACCUAGAUCGUAAAUCAAUCUUGGAGAACACCUUAGCUUUAGACAAUUGAUCAAACCAGAUAUCAAUGCAAGGAAGAGGAUACUUAUUCUUGAUAGUCACCGCAUUAAGUGGGCGAUAAUCCACACACAUGCGCAAGGAUUGAUCUUUCUUCUUCACAAAGAUAGCCGGACAACCCCAAGGAGAAGAACUAGGACGAAUAACACCUUUCUUCAACAAUUCAUUCAACUGGGACUUAAGCUAUUGGGUAUUCUUAAUAUCAUUACCAAAAGUAGACUAAGUUCUCUAAAUCUACUAACGGUGCCAAAAAUGCCAAACCUAUCCCUCACACCACUUAAGCCAAGUUGUCAUCCCCGGCAUGACAUGAGAGACGCGGUAUUGAAAUAUGCAAUUGCUCUUCUAAAUAAAUAAUGAAUGAGAUCUGCAAGCGCACAGAUUAAUACCGAUGUAGCAUUUUAACCGGGAAGUAUUCCAGGUAUCGUUAUUUAUAUUUUUACCACUGGGAAGGGAUUAGUAACCAUCAAUAUUGAUUACAUAAUAGAAUAUGAGAUUGAGUAUCUAUCAUUGCAUGUAUAAUUGAGAACAUUUAUCUAACUCUUUCAUAGAGGGGUAAGUGUCACAUAAAAGAUAUAUGAAAUAAUGAAUAGUGACAAAGAUAAUUAAUCUGAUCAUAACUUAGCCACAUAUAAAUAUGAUAAGCACCUCAAUUAGAUACUCUAGAAAGUCAUUAGCAUGGAAUUAGAACGAACUACAAGAAUAUUUCCUAAGUUAUUCUCAACUAUAUAGUCUAGCAUUAUCAUAGUUAGUGCAAGCAUACUUAGCAAUCAUUGUGAGACAAGAUUAUGCCCAUGCAUAGUGAUAUUAGCAAGGUAACUGAGAAACAUAGCAAUCACUCCCCUGUAAUAAUAUUGCUGUGCCAGCCCAAUACACGAGAGGGGGACUAUAUAAGAAUCAAUGAAGUUGUCACUAUCACGAACUACCCCACGAUCUGGCAUAUUAGGUACAAUCGCAGAUAAAUACGGUAUAAGCACCACGCCUACACAAUAUCUAUCAUUUACCCAUGGAUCCGAUGAAUAAACGCUAUACGAUCCUAAGCAUGUAUAUAGAUCCAAUCUAACUAAGCCAAGUACAUAACUAUGACAAACUAAGAACAAUAUAAUCUUGAAUAUAAACAAGUAGAGCAAAGUCAUAAGCAAUAUAUUGAAGUAGAACAAAGUCAUAUUCAUAAUAUUGAAGAACAAAGAUAAUUAGAAAGCAAUUAGAAGCACAAUUAGAGAAUUACCAAGAAUCCUCUUGACAGGUCCGGAAAUCAAUCGAAGAUUGACUCCUUCUAGUUCUAAUCCUAUGUAGCUAUGCUAAUCUAGAUAUCUAAUUGAUGUGGUGGCUCUAAUCUUGAUCAGAGGCUUCUUCUCCCUUGAAGAACAAUGAAUUAGGGUUGAGAGGCUCUCUCCUCUAGGGGCCAGAGGGUCUGGUUUUAUAGUCCCUUCAAGUGAAUAUGGGCCGUUGGAUCAAACCAACAUUGAUUGAACGGUUAUCCUUGAUCCUUUAGGUCAGUGGAGAUCUCCCGAGAAACAGAGUCCUGAUUGGACUCCAGGUCAGGGCGGGCGCACUGCCUCUGGCCCCGUUCGGCCUCCGCUUUCUUCCCGUGGCUUCUGGAGUCUUCUACAUGUAAGAUAAUUGCGCGGGACGUUAAUAUCUCUAUGUAAUCCCGACGUGUGGGCCUUUCUUCCGUAUUUCCUGAUAACCCCCUGCAGAAAUAGACAAACACCAAAACUCGUGGAAUUCUGUCAGAUAAAACCCUAAGUCUAGAUGUUUAUUUCAUUUGGAUCCUUUUCUUUGUUUAUUUGAUAAUUAAAUUUGAUACUUAAGGACCAUCAACAAACUCCCCCAAGCUUACCUCUUGCUCGUCCCUGAGCAAGGAUAGACUCAGCUAUGGAUCAUAAGUUGUUGCAAUAUCUUUAAAAAUUGAUGGUACACAUGCUUUUUAAAUAAGAUCUCAUCUCUGAGUUAGAGUAAACUGUCAAGACUUAAAACUUACUUACUUUACCUUUUACCAUGGGACUUGUAACCGUCACUUCUGUCUUGACUAGUUAAAAGAUAGAACAGUCUAGUCAAGUGCCAUGUCUCUUAUUCUUGAUCAGCUAUAGCUCUAGAGUUUUUUGCAGAUUUUCAAAUAAAACUCAGAGAUUCCUUGUAUGAUUCUCUCAAAUCUCUCUUUUGUGGUAAUUCUGGAUCCUUACCAAGGCAGUGAUGGUAUAUGCCUUCUCUCAAAAUAUGUGGUAUUUGUGGUAUAAAGCAUAGUGACAUUGACUUCUCUCUCACCCUACUCUAAUAAGGCUUUAAUAUCUGGAGCUCAUAGGUGGGAGAUAAAGUAUACAUACUCACAAGACAUUUAUUGUAUAGUCAAACCAUGGAUCCAAAGAAACAAAUCAAUAAGUCAAAUCAAGAUUUGCAUGUGUGGCGAAUGAAUGGUAUAUGGUGAUGACGGUGAUAACAAUGGUGAAAGUCUAAUUCUACUUUUGCUCUUCUGAGGGGAUACAUACCUUCCUUGCUUUCUGAAACUUUUGAACAGAAUGAGAUGCUCUUAUUUUUCUUUUCACUCAGGUGGGUAUUUUGUACCCCUAAUUCUACUGUCGGACACUUGUCCAUUUUUACCUCUCGUCUCACUUUUUCUUUUCUUUCGAGGUUCCGGGCACUUGCCCCUUUUUAUUUCCUUGUAUCUUUUUUUUUCUCUCUCUUUUUUUUCAGAGCACUCAUCUCUUGAGAUAAUAUAGCAAGUGGUAGUAACAAGAUAACUUGAGCAUUUAUUUCACAGGGAAAAACAGAAAUAUUUUUGGCUAUUCUCUCCCGGAUUAGGAGUAGAAUAUGUUUAGGUGGUUCUGGAGAUGAAAAUGGGUGGAUAUAUGUGGAUGGUACUUCUGGAGUAGAAGUAGCAUAUAUGAGUGAACGUGCAAGUGAAAUCUUGAUUUUAACUACAUGACAAGCUCCUAAGGGUCUACACAGCUUGACCACACUCAAUGCUCAUAAGCAGUAAAUAGUAAAUGUGUGGCUCAAAGUCUAGCAAGCAUGUAUAUAUGGCUGUGGUAGAAAUUUAAACUCUCAUCAUACAGGAACUCAUCAUGCAAUAUUUUAAAGAUUUUUAAAGCUAAAAUUCUCUAGAAUUCUAGCAUCUCUAGGAACAGAUAAACAGCAGCUCAACCUUCCCAUAUCAUAUCCGUUAACAACUUAGACUUCAGAUCAAGUUUUCAUCCCACAAGUUUAGGUCUAGAGCAAGCUUUAAAUUAUAACAGUUAUGUCUAAACUUGAGAGAGAACUUAAAAUGUGCAAAUUAGGUAGAGCAACUAUUCAUGAUAUCCAUGCUAGAGUUUUAUUAUUAAGAUACAGAUUAGCAUAGCCACUCUAUUUAUUUAUUAAACACACUAGGCAAAAGAUAUAAGCACAAAAUCUUUAUUUGGUUUUUCCUGGUUUAUGUAUAUUUAUAUUCUAAAAUAGUAUAAGUUUAAAGAUAGAUAGAUAGAAAUACUUAUCGGGAUAAAUAGGGGUGCUCUCCCCCAAGCUGAAUUUUGACGUAAUUUCUCUUGAUGUAGCUAGCAGGUGAGGUGUAUUUGAAAGUCAGCAGCAUUCUGUCAGCGAUUAGAAUGUCCUCCGUCUACUAGUCUUCUUGAUUCUUAAAUUCUGUGGAGCUCAAAUAGACAACAAAGCUUGUGGAAUUGAUUAAGUGUUAGCAUAAAUAUCUAGCCUUUAUCAUGUUGAGACUCCAUAAUAUUUGUUACUCCCUGUUUUUAUAUUUUUAUUUUAUAAAGCAGAAAAGAAAUAUUUAUUUUAUUUUUAUGCCACCACAGUGAAUGUACUUAUGGGUUUGAUGCCACUCGUAUACUCACAUGGGGCUUACAGUUUUUCACAUUUUUAUUUUAUUUUUAAGAUAGUAUGAAUAUGAUUAACUAAGUAAAAUAAUUGAAAGGGAAAGGAUAACUAUCAAGUUUACCUCUUGGCAAGACGUUCGGUGUUUUUAUGUCCUCCGAACAGGACUCUCCAUUUUCUCAAUUGUCCUGGAAUUCGUUGGGUGGCGGAGUCGGUACUUCCGGCAGCGCCUCUUCUUCAUGUAUAGUUAUCUUCUCUUUCCAUACCUGACUCGGUGCUUCAGUCUCCUCUGGAUAAUUCUGUUUAAACUCUACGUCUUCUGACCUUACAACUUCUCCUUCAUAGUCUGCCCAUCCGUCCUUGAUGAUUUGCCUCCUCUGGUUGCGUCAUUUUCUUACCUGCUUAGAUUCUUCAAAGAUGUAGUUAGGGUCAGUAAAAUAACGGCGUACCUUCUCUGAGGGGAAGUGCAUAUGGACUUCUCCAGUUCCAAUGUAGAUAAUUGCUUUAACAGUGCUGAGGAACGGUCUUCCAAGGAUGAUGGGUGGAUCGUAUUCAUCUUCUCCCAUGUCAAUAACCUGAAAGUCUGUGUAGACAAAAUGAUCGUCUAUUUUGACUGGGACAUCCGUUACUGUUCCUUUAACUUCUCGAGAUGUCUGAUCUGCCAUCUGGAGCUGAAUGUAUGUUAGUCUUAGUGGCAUGGUUCCGAACAAGAGCCGAUAGGUGACUACGGCCAUUAUGUUGACGCCCGAUCCGGUGUCGCAAAACGUCUUGUAGAAGCUGUAUCCAUUUAUGGAGCAGUAGAUGCUUGGCAUUACUAGGUCGUCCUUCUUGGUCAAAAACGAUGACUUAAGUUGAUGAUCUUGACCUCCAUGAACUGCAGUGACCAUCUUAGCUGAUUCGGUCCACACUUGCUUGUCUUGUUUCCUCCUGUUGUUCCCUCCCUUGAUUCACGUCUGGAAUGAUCUGGGAUUUGUGUAGCUUGUUCUGGAAGAAAAAUGUCUCCUUCCUCCCUUUGAUGUAGAAACUGAUCUUGGCAGCACUAGCAUAGAUGACAGCUCCCGAGGUGUUUAAGAAUGGCCUCCCUAAGAUGAUGGGUGCUCUCUCAUCACUACCGGUAUCUAUCACCACGAAGUCUGCUAGGGCGUACAAGGUACCAACUUGGACACAAAGGUUCUUCAAUAUUCCUUUUGGAAAACUUAUCGUCUGAUCUGCAAACUGCAAACACAUGGUUGUCUCUAAUAAAGGAUAUGUAAAGAAUUUUUCAUGGAGUACCCUAGGUAUAAUGUUGACACUGGAGCCAAAGUCGCAGAGUGCUUCUGGGAAGUCCACCAUUCCGAUGGAGAUCGGGAUGACGGGGCGUCCUGGAUCGCCUCUCUUGACCGGCAGAAGGUCAGUAGUAAAUUCAGUGACGGGGUUACUCCAAUUACCUGCAUCAAACAUGUCUACAAGAUUUGCAGAUUCUAAUCCUUCCGGUUGUGAUGGUAUACCGGGGUUAGUAGCAGGAACAGCAGCAGCUAUUUGAUUUAACUGAGAUUCAAUCAUUUUAUUAAAGCUAAUUUGAUUCUUGAUGGCAGUAGAGAAAUUAUCCGGUCUAUUAUUUAUAUUUUCUAGCAUUUUAUCAUUUGAUGCCAAUUUCUUAGAUAGAUUAUCCAUUAGCUUUCCUUGAUUAGACACUAACUCUCUCAAAGGUGGAAAAUUAUUAUUAUUGUUGUAAGAACUGUUACCUUGAUAAUUACCUGAGUAGUUAGGCCUCUGUUGAUUCCAACCUUGAUUUUGUUGAGGACGGUUGUAGUAGUUGUUGUUGUUAUUGUUGAUGCAGUUCACAUCCUCAAGUAUCUCAGGGCAGUGAUUGCCUGAGUGUCCAGUAUCUCCACACUCCUCACAAGUCAUGUGAGAGUCGUAGAUGUGCAUAACUUCUUUCUUGUCUCCAUCUCUAUCAUCGAGCUUCUUCAUGAGCAGGUCUAGCUUUGCAGAUAGCAUGUCUACCUCCUUGAGCUGAUGCAUACCUCCACCUCUCUUGCGUGUCUGGGUCCUCUCUUCAUUCCAGCCUUGGUUGGACGCCAUCUUCUCCACAAGAGCUGUGGCUUGUCAUAUGGUAAGUGAUAAGAAUGCUCCUCCAGCUGCAGCAUCCAUGGUUUCUCGGGCACUGUUGCUGAGCCCAUGAUAAAACGUCUCUAUUAGUAGCCAACCCUCCAUUCCAUGUUGGGGACAUUAUAAGAUGUAGUCUUGGAAGCGCUCCCAUGCUUCUGGAACAGAUUCAUCAUGUUGUUGCUGAAAACUUGUAAUCUUCCCACGGAGAGCAUUGGUCUUGCCCAUGGGAAAGAACUUAGCCAGGAAGUUUGUUGAGCAGAGUGCCCACGUAGUAUUCUUCUCCUUUGUAGCGUAAAACCACUGCUUCGCUCUUCCUAGCAGUGAGAAUGGGAAGAGGCGAAGUAGUAUAGCAUCUCUGGGGACUCCUGAUAUGGUGAAUGUGCUGCAAAUCUCCAGGAAGUGUUGGAGAUGAGCACUAGCAUCUUCGUGUGCCUUCCCACAGAACUGGUUGGAUUGCACCAUGUUGAUAAGUCCAGGCUUGAGCUCAAAGUUGCCGUCGAUCUCUGCAGCAGGUCCUGUGCUGAUGUUGUCCGUAGUGGGAGCUGAGAACUCGCGGAUCGAUUUGUUCGCCAUGGCUUCGAACUCUGAAGACAAGUUUCGGUGAUUUUCUUCAUUGGAUGAAGCUUCUUGCUGAAGUGUUGAUGAUCUCUUCUUGAGCUUUGCUUUUGUCUUCUUGAAUAAUGCUUUGGGAUUGUCUUCUAUUCAUACAUUCCCCUGCAUAAGAUAAAAUGGAAAAAUAUCGGGGUAAAACUGUAUGAGAGAAUAGAUAAGCUCAAUCAUAUUAGUGACGCGAAUGAUAACUCAAAAUCCUUUAUUCCAUUCCGGAUUAGUAAUCAACCUUCCCCGGCAACGGCGCCAAAAAUGCUUGUUGGGUAUUCUUAACAUCAUUACCAAAAGUAGACUAAGUUCUCUAAAUCUAGUAACGGUGCCAAAAAUGCCAAACCUAUCCCUCACACCACUUAAGCCAAGUUGUCAUCCCCAGCAUGACAUGAGAGACGCGGUAUUGAAAUAUGCAAUUGCUCUUCUAAAUAAAUAAUGAAUGGGAUCUGCAAGCGCACAGAUUAAUACCGAUGUAGCAUUUUAACCAGGAAGUAUUCCAGGUAUCGUUAUUUAUAUUUUUACCACUGGGAAGGGAUUAGUAACCAUCAAUAUUGAUUACAUAAUAGAAUAUGAGAUUGAGUAUCUAUCAUUGCAUGUAUAAUUGAGAACAUUUAUCUAACUCUUUCAUACAGGGGUAAGUGUCACAUAAAAGAUAUAUGAAAUAAUGAAUAGUGACAAAGAUAAUUAAUCUGAUCAUAACUUAGCCACAUAUAAAUAUGAUAAGCACCUCAAUUAGAUACUCUAUAAAGUCAUUAGCAUGGAAUUAGAACGAACUACAAGAAUAUUUCCUAAGUUAUUCUCAACUAUAUAGUCUAGCAUCAUCAUAGUUAGUGCAAGCAUACUUAGCAAUCAUUGUGAGACAAGAUUACGCCCAUGCAUAGUGAUAUUAGCAAGGUAACUGAGAAACAUAGCAAUCACUCUCCUGUAAUAAUAUUGCUGUGCCAGCCCAAUACACGAGCGGGGGACUAUAUAAGAAUCAAUGAAGCUGUCACUAUCACGAACUACCCCACGAUCUGGCAUAUUAGGUACAAUCGCAGAUAAAUACGGUAUAAGCACCACGCCUACACAAUAUCUAUCAUUUACCCAUGGAUCCGAUGGAUAAACGCUAUACGAUCCUAAGCAUGUAUAUAGAUCCAAUCUAACUAAGCCAAGUACAUAACUAUAACAAACUAAGAACAAUAUAAUCUUGAAUAUAAACAAGUAGAGCAAAGUCAUAAGCAAUAUAUUGAAGUAGAACAAAGUCAUAUCCAUAAUAUUGAAGAACAAAGAUAAUUAGAAAGCAAUUAGAAGCACAAGUAGAGAAUUACCAAGAAUCCUCUUGACAGGUCCGGAAACCAAUCGAAGAUUGACUCCUUCUAGUUCUAAUCCUAUGUAGCUAUGCUAAUCUAGAUAUCUAAUUGAUGUGGUGGCUCUAAUCUUGAUCAGAGGCUUCUUCUCCCUUGAAGAACAAUGAAUUAGGGUUGAGAGGCUCUCUCCUCUAGGAGCCAGGGGGUCUGGUUUUAUAGUCCCUUCAAGUGAAUAUGGGCCGUUGGAUCAAACCAACAUUGAUUGAACGGUUAUCCUUGAUCCUUUAGGUCAGUGGAGAUCUCCAGAGAAACAGAGUCCUGAUUGGACUCCAGGUCAGGGCGGGCGCCCAGGGCAGGAGGGCGGGCGCCCUGCCUCUGGCCCCGUUCGGCCUCCGCUUUCUUCCCGUGGCUUCUGGAGUCUUCUAGAUGUAAGAUAAUUGCGCGGCACGUUAAUAUCUCUAUGUAAUCCCGACGUGUGGGCCUUUCUUCCGUAUUUCCUGAUAAACCCCUGCAGAAAUAGACAAACACCAAAACUCAUGGAAUUCUGUUAGAUAAAACCCUAAGUCUAGAUGUUGAUUUCAUUCGGAUCCUUUUCUUUGUUUAUUUGAUAAUUAAAUUUGAUACUUAAGGACCAUCAACAAACUCCCCCAAGCUGACCUCUUGCUCGUCCCUGAGCAAGGAUAGACUCAGCUAUGGAUCAUAAGUUGUUGCAAUAUCUUUAAAAAUUGAUGGUACACAUGCUUUUUAAAUAAGAUCUCAUCUCUGAGUUAGAGUAAACUGUCAAGACUUAAAACUUACUUACUUUACCUUUUACCAUGGGACUUGUAACCGUCACUUCUGUCUUGAGUAGUUAAAAGAUAGAACAGUCUAGUCAAGUGCCAUAUCUCUUAUUCUUGAUCAGCUAUAGCUCUAGAGUUUUUUGCAGAUUUUCAAAUAAAACUCAGAGAUUCCUUGUAUGAUUCUCUCAAAUCUCUCUUUUGUGGUAAUUUUGGAUCCUUACCAAGGCAGUGAUGGUAUAUGCCUUCUCUCAAAAUAUGUGGUAUUUGUGGUAUAAAGCAUAGUGACAUUGACUUCUCUCUCACCCUACUCUAAUAAGGCUUUAAUAUUUGGAGCUCAUAGGUGGGAGAUAAAGUAUACAUACUCACAAGACAUUUAUUGUAUAGUCAAACCAUGGAUCCAAAGAAACAAAUCAAUAAGUCAAAUCAAGAUUUGCAUGUGUGGCGAAUGAAUGGUAUAUGGUGAUGACGGUGAUAACAAUGGUGAAAGUCUAAUUCUACUUUUGCUCUUCUGAGGGGAUACAUACCUUCCUUGCUUUCUGAAACUUUUGAAGAGAAUGAGAUGCUCUUAUUUUUCUUUUCACUCAGGUGGGUAUUUUGUACCCCUAAUUCUACUGUCGGACACUUGUCCAUUUUCACCUCUCGUCUCACUUUUUCUUUUCUUUCGAGGUUCCGGGCACUUGCCCCUUUUUAUUUCCUCGUAUCUUUUUUUUUCUCUCUCUUUUUUUCAGAGCACUCAUCUCUUGAGAUAAUAUAGCAAGUGGUAGUAACAAGAUAACUUGAGCAUUUAUUUCACAGGGAAAAACAGAAAUAUUUUUGGCUAUUCUCUCCCGGAUUAGGAGUAGAAUAUGUUUAGGUGGUUCUGGAGAUGAAAAUGGGUGGAUAUAUGUGGAUGGUACUUCUAGAGUAGAAGUAGCAUAUAUGAGUGAACGUGCAAGUGAAAUCUUGAUUUUAACUACAUGACAAGCUCCUAAGGGUCUACACAGCUUGACCACACUCAAUGCUCAUAAGCAGUAAAUAGUAAAUGUGUGGCUCAAAGUCUAGCAAGCAUGUAUAUAUGGCUAUGGUAGAAAUUUAAACUCUCAUCAUACAGGAACUCAUCAUGCAAUAUUUUAAAGAUUUUUAAAGCUAAAAUUCUCCAGAAUUCUAGCAUCUCUAGGAACAGAUAAACAGCAGCUCAACCUUCCCAUAUCAUAUCCGUUAACAACUUAGACUUCAGAUCAAGUUUUCAUCCCACAAGUUUAGGUCUAGAGCAAGCUUUAAAUUAUAACAGUUAUGUCUAAACUUGAGAGAGAACUUAAAAUGUGCAAAUUAGGCAGAGCAACUAUUCAUGAUAUCCAUGCUAGAGUUUUAUUAUUAAGAUACAGAUUAGCAUAGCCACUCUAUUUAUUUAUUAAACAUACUAGGCAAAAGAUAUAAGCACAAAAUCUUUAUUUGGUUUUUCCUGGUUUAUGUAUAUUUAUAUUCUAAAAUAGUAUAAGUUUAAAGAUAGAUAGAUAGAAAUACUUAUCGGGAUAAAUAGGGGUGCUCCCCUCCAAGCUGAAUUUUGACGUAAUUUCUCUUGAUGUAGCUAGCAGGUGAGGUGUAUUUGAAAGUCAGCAGCAUUCUGACAGCGAUUAGAAUGUCCUCCGUCUACUAGUCUUCUUGAUUCUUAAAUUCUGUGGAGCUCAAACAGACAACAAAGCUUGUGGAAUUGAUUAAGUGCUAGCAUAAAUAUCUAGCCUUUAUCAUGUUGAGACUCCUUAAUAUUUGUUACUCCCUGUUUUUAUAUUUUUAUUUUAUAAAGCAGAAAAGAAAUAUUUAUUUUAUUUUUAUGCCACCACAGUGAAUGUUCUUAUGGGUUUGAUGCCACUCGUAUACUCACAUGGGGCUUACAGUUUUUCACAUUUUUAUUUUAUUUUUAAGAUAGUAUGAAUAUGAUUAACUAAGUAAAAUAAUUGAAAGGGAAAGGAUAACUACCAAGUUUACCUCUUGGCAAGGCAUUCGGUGUUUUUAUGUCCUCCGAACAGGACUCUCCAUUUUCUCAAUUGUCCUGGGAUUCGUUGGGUGGCGCAGUCGGUACUUCCGGUAGCGCCUCUUCUUCAUGUAUAGUUAUCUUCUCUUUCCAUACCUGACUCGGUGCUUCGGUCUCCUCUGGAUAAUUCUGUUUAAACUCUACGUCUUCUGACCUUAAAACUUCUCCUUCAUAGUCUGCCCAUCCGUCCUUGAUGAUUUGCCUCCUCUGGUUGCGUCAUUUUCUUACCUGCUUAGAUUCUUCAAAGAUGCAGUUAGGGUCAGUAAAAUAACGGCGUACCUUCUCUGAGGGGAAGUGCAUAUGGACUUCUCCAGUUCCAAUGUAGAUAAUUGCUUUAACAGUGCUGAGGAACGGUCUUCCAAGGAUGAUGGGUGGAUCGUAUUCAUCUUCUCCCAUGUCAAUAACCUGAAAGUCUGUGUAGACAAAAUGAUCGUCUAUUUUGACUGGGACAUCAGUUACUGUUCCUUUAACUUCUCGACAUGUCUGAUCUGCCAUCUGGAGCUGAAUGUAUGUUAGUCUUAGUGGCAUGGUUCCGAACAAGAGCCGAUAGGUGACUGAGGCCAUUAUGUUGACGCCCGAUCUGGUGUCGCAAAACGUCUUGUAGAAGCUGUAUCCAUUUAUGGAGCAGUAGAUGCUUGGCAUUCCUAGGUCGUCCUUCUUGGUCAAAAACGGUGACUUAAGUUGAUGAUCUUGACCUCCAUGAACUGCAGUGACCAUCUUAGCUGAUUCGGUCCACACUUGCUUGUUCUUGUUCCUCCUGUUGGUCCUCUUCCUUGAUUCAUGUCUCGAUUGAUCUGGGAUUUGUGUAGCCUUGUUCUUGAAGAAAAAUGUCUCCUUCCUCCCUUUGAUGUAGAAACUGAUCUUGGCAGCACUAGCAUAGAUGACAGCUCCCGAGGUGUUUAAGAAUGGCCUCCCUAAGAUGAUGGGUGCUCUCUCAUCACUACCGGUCUCUAUCACCACGAAGU
RNAcentral lists this long non-coding RNA (51545 nucleotides) under Sorghum bicolor (sorghum). Its description in RNAcentral is "long non-coding RNA (SBIC_LNC004717)". The stretch from base 46008 to 46114 matches the Rfam family "Plant small nucleolar RNA R71". Lineage: Eukaryota; Viridiplantae; Streptophyta; Magnoliopsida; Poales; Poaceae. The record is from RNAcentral.